Molecule: long non-coding RNA, 52878 nt
Filed under: Marmota monax (woodchuck)
Lineage: Eukaryota; Metazoa; Chordata; Mammalia; Rodentia; Sciuridae
Rfam family: tRNA (bases 19272-19340)
Source: RNAcentral
UGCCCUACAGGAAAAUGACUCAGGCACUUUGGACACGGUGGGCGCUGUGGUUGUGGACCACGAAGGGAAUGUUGCUGCUGCUGUCUCCAGUGGAGGCUUGGCCUUGAAACAUCCAGGAAGAGUUGGGCAGGUAAUUAAUUACAGGAUUCAUACACUAGUUUUCCAAAAUGAAACAUGAAAUUUUCUAGUUCACAAUUUUUAAACCACUAGGGAUAUAUUUUUCCCAUUAGGAAAAGUAAUCAUUAUUCUUUAACUUUUGUCUAAUAUAAAUUAAAAAAAACUUUUCAAAAUAAUUUCUUAAAAAAAUUCUGUCUAGUAUUGAUAGGGUUCUUUCUGAUCUUUACAACUGGUAAUCCUAGUUUUACUACUUUCAAUGGGCUGAGUACUGACCUGAAUAUUUAGUAGAUAUUUAAUAGAUGUGUGUUGAUUUUCAUUGUCAAUUUUGUGUGUGUAUAUGUGUGUGUGUGUGUGUAUCACUCUCUUUAAGACCAAGCUUUAUUUGCUUGCUUUUUAGUUAAAAAAAUGAUUUUAGAGUUAUAUUUUUUUAUUUUUUCCAUUCAAGUAAUCGUAACAUUUUGUUUGACAUUCUACAUCUCUCUUCUGAUUAAUCAUUUUAGGCAUUUUGUAGAAUAACUAGAAUUUCAGGUCACUAACACAUGAAAUGUAGAAAUGAGGAUGGUCUGAUUUGUGUGACAUUUGCUUAUUUCCAGAUCUCUUACAUCUUCUUCACCCCAUCCUCCCCAUUUCCAACCUUCAGUUUUAUAUUGAGAAUAAAAUUUAAAAAUUCAUUUGAAUGUUCUAAGCAUUCUGAGUAUAACCAAUUUGGCCUAUUACUUAGGGGCUUAAUUAAUAAGUGUUGAGUAUUGAGUGAACAAAUUAAUUAUUCUCAUGGAGUCUUUUAAACUAGUUGCGUGGAGGUAUUUUUUAAAACUAAGUAUUUGGAUUUUGUCUUGUGUAUGCAGUAUGGCUUAUCAUGCUGUGUGCCCCUCACAUAUGAGAAAGAGUCAGUGUCACAGUUGCUAUGGUUAUGAUGGUUAGUGAUACUUGAAGCAGUAUGUCUGAUUCAGGGAAGAUACCUUUGCAAAGCCCCUAGGAAUAUUCCUUGAUCUUCCCUUUAUGUGGACAAGUCACUUACAGUUCAAUACUAGGGGGAAGUGGAAGGGAAGAGUAAUUACUUUUGUGCUACACUUUGCCUACCAUACAGGGGACUUAUGGAGAAUGAUUACCCAACAGUGCUAUGAACUCACGACAGAAGUCUUUGUAUAUCCACAGUAUUUUUCCACAUUAUAUAACCUGUGUAUUUUUCAAGUUUGGAAUAAUAUACUCAAGCUUGGCAUAUCGUAUUUGGAUGCCCUCGUGGAGGAGAGAGAAAAGCCAACAGAGUUGCCUUCAUUGCCUAGUAAUUCCCAUGAUUUUCUCAUUGUUUUCUGUUUGUUUUAGUUAGCAAGUAGCAAUGACAGAACCAAAGAUAGUUCUGGACUAUGUUACCAGACUAUAACAUUUAAAAAUCUUGAAGCCAUUCUACUACCACACAUGGGACUAUUCUGGAAAAAGAAUACUUCUGUAAAAUUUAUGUGUUUAUUUGCUCCACUUGGCUAAUUUAUGAAUAUACAACUGUGAGAGCUGAACAAAAAAUCAGAAAAGGACAUGGGGGAAAGGAGUCAAGGUACUUACAGGAGACGAAGCUGUUUAAUUGGAUUAUAUUGCUGGAUAAAGGAGAUGUGAUUAGCCUGAAAAUAUGAAUCAUCAGAUGAGAGGUAAAGAAGAGUUUUUCACAGAAUGAAACAAAAUACAAAAGCAAAUUGUAUCAAAGGUUAAUUAUUUUUUCAAAAUGUGUUGAAUUCAGUGCACUUUAAAUGCUUAAAUUAACUACUUAAAAUUUUAGCAUAUUACCCUGUACUGAAAGCACUGCAGAUGAAAAAAUAGCAAUUUGGAUUAGAACUUCCUUCUUUAGUUCACUAUAAUGAUUACACUCACAAUUUGGACACAAGAAAGGAAUUAUUACAUUCCACUCCCACUUCCCCUCAUGUCACCCCAUAUAAACACACAAUGAGUUUAGUGGGUAAGAGUAUGGACUUUAAAUUCAGGUAAACCUUUAUUCUAAUCCCAUCUCUCACUUUCCUUUCUCCAUACCUUGAGUAAAUUACUCAACAUCUCUAAGCUCCACUCUCUCUAAGUGUAAAAUGAGGAUUCUAGCUACCUUACCAAGUACUAGAAGAUUAUAUGAUGUAACACUGUAAAACUGUGUAUCAUAGCCCCUAGUUAUAACAUCCAUAGCUACUGUUUAUGAAGCACUUGCUUUGUGUAAUAGGUUGUUAAUUUAUGUGAUCCUUUGGCAAAACUAUGGUAGUGCAUAUUUUUAUCAUCUUUAUUUUAUAGAAGGAGAAACAAUGGCUGUUUAGUAAUAAUAAUCACUUAUAUGACCUACUUUUACUCCACAAUAAUAACCUUAAUAAAAUUUUACUACCAGAAAGAAGGAAACUUUUAAAAAUUUUAUUUUAAAGUCCUGCUUUUGAUGUGUUUUCAGCAAAGAAGUAGAUAAGAGAGAGAUAACAUCUUGUUCUUUCUCUCAUCUUACCUGCGACUGCCUCAGCCUAACCAAUUUCAGAAGGUUAAGAAGGAAGACAACUCGAAUUCAUGAUAUUAAGGGAGGGCAUUCUAAAGGGAAUUUGCUUAGAAGAAACAGAGGGAAGCAUAAAUAUUCUUACUUUCCUAGGGAGACGACUUCCACUGGCUUACUAAGGGGUAUUUUUGUAGAUUUUUGUACUAGUUUUUUUUUUUUUUUUUUUGAGUGCAGACUCCUGGUCAAAGUAAUUGAGAGGAAUGGAAAUGAUGAUGGGAAAAUGUUCAGAGUUUUCAAUGAAGAAUGAUGAACCUUUCCACUAGGGUCUUGUGUUCUCUGAGACUUUGUCUGCCCUAGCACCUGCUGCAAAGAGUACCAGUUGAAUGAUUACUGUACAAAUCUGCUAGUAUUAUUCUGAACUCCAUGUGCUAAAUCACUUCUAAAGGGCUUUCAGUUGCCACACUGGCCCAGCAGUUUUGGGAAAUGAAACUAAGGCAUGUAUUUUAGAAUCAUAGUGUUUUCAAAGCCUGUAACAGAUUUCCCACUGUUUGUCAUAUUUGAAGUGUCCUGUUGAGUUCUUGGUUCUAUUUUUUUUUUUAACAAGACUUUUGUUAGUAAAAACUAGAAAGGGCAACUGUAGGUCACAUGAAUAAAUAUCCUGGAUUCUGAAUUAUUUCUCAAGAAAAGUGAUUAAGAGAGGAGGGGAGGUUGUUUGUCUGAAAAUCUUGGGGAAUAGCUCACAAUUAUAUGGAAGUUAAGGUAUUUCCAGAAAUCAGAACCAAGACUAGUAGAUAGAAGUUAUAAUCAAGCUAAUCAAGCAGAUAUUUGUUCAAUCCAAGGAUUCCAUCAGUGGAAAAUGUCCAAUAGGGGAAUAUGUUGUCACAUUAGGUAGUUAGAUCCUAUGCCUGGGAUGUUUCCUACUCUGGGUAGAAUAUUGGAGCAACUGAGUUGUAAGGUCCUUGUGAAAAAUAACAGAAUAUCAAAGUAAGCUGAAAUCUUCCUGGCCACCAGUCCCAGUCUUAGCCUAGUCCUUAGAAGUGAGUUCCCAGAAGAUAACAGUACUUUUCAUGGGAGUAUCUUUUUCUCUAUCAGUGACAGUGAAUACUGAAUGUAUUAUUGUAACUUGCUUUUUUUUAAAAUUCAACAAUAUGUUUGGAGAUAUUUCCAUAUCCAUUCCUAAAGAUUUUUUAAAAUCUACUUGUUUUAUUUUUAACCUGUGCAACAAAUUCCAUGUAUUUCUCUGCCAAAGUUUAUUUAGCCUUUCUUUAUGGAUAGAAAUUUAGUUUUUUUUUCCCCUGUAUUUCAUUCUUACUAAGCAUGUGGUAAUGAACUCGUUGAGUUGGCUCCUUGUAUUUUUGCAAUAGCUAGCCAAGGGUUUUUACUAAUUCUCUUCUGAGGAGUGAAAAAGUUAUUAGUUAUGAGUCCCCUCUCAAAGACAGAGAAGUCAUUGUGGAUGUUGUGGUGAUGAAUGUAGACAUUCUGGAUAGGAUUAUUGGAAACAAAAUAGAAAUGAUUGUUAAAAUCUUUUAUAUAAAUCAUAAUAGUUUACUGUGUUCCUGGUCAUUUCAGACUGAUAAUCUGUUCUACCACCUAACAAAGUGAUUAGCUCAAACAGGCCUUUUUCCUUUCUUUCUUUUCAUAUGGCAGAAUCUAACACAGUGAUGAACAUAUACUGAGCCCUGUGGUAUAGAGUGGUGUGAAGUUCCUAUUGUGCUACCCAAAUGGAGGCAUGGAAUAGGACUCCUGAAACAGGAUUUCCUAGACAGUGGUUAGAAGGAUUAUCUGCAUUUCUGUACUCUAAGGCCAUGUCUUCUCUCAGACACUGAACCAGACAGAAUCUCUAGAAAUUAGGGUUCUUAUCAGCAAGUUGCCCAAGUAAUUCAACAUGCACUGAGUUUAAAAACCACCUGUUUUAAGGCAACCACACUGAUUUCAAGAGACCAGAAGAGCAACUAGCUAACGAACUACAAAAGGAAAAAGUAUUUUCAGGGAAGGAAUACAUUGCUGAUGAGACCAAAAAGACUGUAUUUUGCUAUUUUCUGAGAAUGUUUGGAUAGGUAGAAUAGCUGCAAAUGUAUUAUUUAUUUUAAUUAAUUAAUUAGUGUUAUUUUUUGAUUUGCAUAUAAUAUUUGUACAUAUUUAUGAGGUAUAACAUGAUAUUUUGAUUUAUGUAUACUCUGGGGUUAUCAAAGACUGAGGAGAAUAGGGAGGAGAUGGGUGGGGAGAGGUUGGUAAACAAGUACCAUAUUACAGUUAGAGAGGAAGAAUAACUUAUGGUGUUCUGUGACACAGUGGAAGAAAUAUAAUUAAUACUAUUGUAUUGUAUAUCUCAAAACAGAAGAAAAUGUGGUUUUGAGAGUGUUAAAACCAUUGCAUAGUUUGCAUAGACUCUUUGGCAUUAUCAUUAAGUUGUUCUACAUCAUUAGUAAACCAGACUUUAUUAGAUGGGCAUGACUUUGUUUCUUCUGUUGAAAGCUGAUAAUUACAUAUAAUAUUCCUGAAAUAUUAUAUCUCCCCAUUUCCUUUUUUCCUAGGCUGCUCUUUAUGGAUGUGGCUGCUGGGCUGAAAAUACUGGAGUUCAUAAUCCCUACUCCACAGCUGUGAGUACCUCAGGUAUUUGCUGAUUUCAUGACCAUUUUUCAUAACUGCAACCCUGUCAGUCAUUUAAUGACUAAAAGCAAUAUUUUUAGGGAAACAUAAAAUAUGUUGUAAGACACUACAUAUACAAAAGCUUUGAUGUGUGUAAAAAGAUCUUGAGUUUUGGGGAGGUUUUAAGGAUUGUUUAGUAUCACAGUGUAAAUGGUUUGCUAACAUUUUUAGUACAACUCUGGAGUUAAGUAUAACUUAAUUAUUUGUAUAUCAAUGUAUUUUUUUCUGUAAUAGCCCACAACAGUGUCAAAUGGAUGAAAAUGAUAUAUAAACACCAAAUAAUUUACAAAAUUAACAGAUCUUUUAUUGUAUUUAAAAUUUUUUUUAGUUGUCGAUGGACUUUUAUUUUGUUUAUUUAUAUGCAGUGCUGAGAAUUGAAGCCAGUGCCUCACACAUACUAGGCAUGCUUUCUACCACUGAGCUAUAACCCCAGCCAGCAAGAGAUAAUCUCUUGAGUAAAAUGUUGACAUAAAACAUAAAAGGUUAUAUUUCAAAAUGUAUAGUUUAUAACACCACUAUUCCUCUCACUACACUUUUAAUAAAAUAUAGACUCUCUUUUUGUGCUAUAUUAGAAAGUCAUUAUUAUUUUAUGAGAGAGAGAGAGAGAGAGAGUGUGUGUGUGUGUGUGUGUGUAGGGGUGGGAAAUAGGGGGCUUCAGGGAGUUUUAAUAGGCAGAACGAUUUUCUAUUUCCAAAUUUUUAUAACACUUGUACUAGAUAUAUUCAAUAGCUUUUCUUUUUAUAUGGUGAUGCUGCCGCUUAAAAUUAUAUUAGUUCCUCGCAUUACCACGUUAUCCUUCAAGUUAUAGUCCUGUUCUUUUCUCCCCAGUAUUCUCAGCUUUAUCAGCUAGGUGGACAGAUGUGACUGCUUUCACUUCCUUUUUUUUUUUUCUUCUAUUUCUUUCCACAUUGAUUUCUGCCCAACAUAGUGAUAAACUGCCCACUGGGUCCAGUAGCCCACCUCUGCUUACUGCUUAUUCUUUCUGUGGUCUUUGAUGCAGGUAUUGCCUGUAGCAUAGAACCUGAAACUCUCUUGGUUUGUUCUACUUCUCUGACCUGCUGCACUUUGGCCUUCUUCACAGAUUCUUCUUUUUAGUCCUUCUUCGAUAAUAAUCUCAACUUGGUCCUCUACUAGAGUCUCACUUCUCCCCUCUUGAUGACUUAUUGUUACUAUAGUUGUUCUCAUAAUUUCAGUUGGUCUCUCUUUGAUAUUGUCUUCCAUAUCUGUGUCUAUUCUGGACAUUACUCUUGUUUUUUUUUUUGGGGGGGGGUGUUGUACCAGGGACUGAACUCAGGGGCACUUGGCCACUAAGUCACAUUCCCAGCCCUAGUUUGUAUUUUAUUUAGAGACAGGGUCUCACUUAGUUGCUUUGUACCUCAAUUUAAUGAGGCUGGCUUUGAACUUGUGAUCUUCCUACCUCAGCCUCUUGAGCCGCUGAGAUUAUAGUUGUGCACCACUGUGCCUGGUAUGGACAUUACUAUUGAAGUCCACAUGAGUUCUUUCAUGAGUCCUUCUUGUUGUACAUGCCCCUAUGAAUAUCAUAUAUGUAUGUCAGACUCAGUAGGUUGAACAGAACAACUUAUUCUUUAUCCUCAACCCAUGGCCACCUUUUACCUGAAUUUCCUAGCUUUUUUAUUGCCCCUUACUAACCUAUUCUUUGCUUAGCUUGAAAUCUUGCCACAAUUCUCAAGUUUGUUGCUUCUUUCCAUUUCUACUCACCUGAUCCUGCUAUUUCAGACCUGUGUUCCCCUGCCCACCUGUUGUGGCUGCCUGCUGACUUCGCUUCUUUCCUUGCAUCAGUGAAACAAUAAGAUUAUGAGCCACUGGCCUACUGGGUGAAGUUUGGACACAAUGUAAUGUUGAAUUUAAACCAUUCUAAUAUAAUUGGGAAAAAUUUUGUUUUUAGUCUUUUAUUUAGAGAAGAUAAGCAGAAUGUAAUGAGUUAAUUUCUAAAUUUAAUAUUAAUGGAAUCUGAAAAUCUUGAUGUAUAGUAUUUAUGAAUUAGCCAGUGUACACAAUUAAGUUUGCUCCUGUGUGUAUGGAAAAUAGUUGAAUGUGAAAAAACUGUAGUCUAAAACAUAUAAUUCCUUGUUUCAUUUUUUAUUUUCUCAAAGAGAUUUUAGUUGGUAUCAUAUAUUGUGUCGAUUUUUUUUUUUGGUUAAUAUGUAUUUCUGUAAGUUAAGUUUAUUGUCUAGAUGUUGCUCUUAUAUAUAGGUGUGAGGAACAGAAGUAUAUUUUAAAUCAAGAUUCUGAGUACCUGCCUGGGCCACUUUGAGAUUACAUUCCCUUGAGUUUAUGUACCUCCAUAGCCCAACACACUUUUUAAAAAUUAGUGUCAUAGAAGUUGGAUAAAAGCUUACUUUGUCAAUUUAAUUCUAUUAAGAGGAGUGUAAUUUAAAGCUAAAAUUAUAAAAAUGAGGUCUUUCCUUUUUUGUCUUGGAUAUUUUCUCAUUUGUCCAACUGCAUUAGUUGAGAUAGUUCCAUAUGACUAAAGAUACUUUUGAGUUACCAGAUUAUGACAUCCAGAGUAGCCUUUUAACUUUGAUAUCCAGCUUAUCAUAUUGCAUCUUUGCAGGACUGGUGAGACAUUAGGGUCAUGUGGUUAUGCUCAGAAUUCUCUAUCCCUGGGAGUUGAUGCCUAUAUUAAAGGCCUCAACUGAUAAUUGCUGUCUGCCUUUGCAAAUAGCCUCCCAGGCCGGCAUCACCAUAGCAACUGGGCCAUCUUGACCUGUACCUUUGCACAGGCAGUUCACAGGAGAGUGCAGACAUGAGAAAGUCAGAGGCCAUGAUUCAAAUCAUCAUUCCCCACAAAGACUUGUGCCUCAGACUGUUGUAGAAAAUCCAGAAAACUGAUCAGCAUUUUGGGUUUAUGUAUCUUGGAAAGUGAUAAUUGAAAAGCAGGAUAAGCAGGAUAGGACUCUAUUGAGGCCAGAAAGGUGAUUUGGUCAUUAGCUUAGGGGAUAAACUCCACCAUCUUUUUCUCAUUGUUGGUUGGGAAGGAAUGAGUUGAGGGAUAGAGUGACAGGAGCUGAUCUUGUAAACUCUUGACUAAUGUUCUGGUGUCAAGGGAAUUUGCCUCAUUAGGGAUGGAGCAGGGCAAACAACUUGGUUCUUGUCCAGAUUUACUAACUGUCGAACCUGAGCAGGGCAUUAUUUGUACAAUAAUGUGCAAUAUUAUUUGCACAUUAUUUGGAAUAAUAUCUACCAGUGCUGUGAGAACUGAAUGAGAUGACAUAUGGAAGAUACUUAGUGUACGUCUUCAUCCAGUGUUCCAUUGAAUCUCAGUCACUAUCUUUUAUAAAACACACUAUUAUUUUUAUACCUCUAAGAAAAGGAAAAAUGCAGCCAGUUGAAGCAUGACACACUGCUUUCUCAUCACUUAAUUUUUUAAAAUAUUUUUUAUACCUUUAUUUUUAUAUGGUGUUGAGGAUUGAACACAGUGCCUCCACAUGCUAGGCAAGCACUCUAUCAUUGAGCUACAACCACAGCCCCUCAUAUCUUAAUUUUUGGUUGUUACUUUAUAAGUAAGUAUAGAAUUGGGUAAUGAGAAUUUUUUACUUCACUGAUAAUAAAUUCACACCCCAUUGCUAUUUCCAUGCCUUCCUACAUACAUAAUCAUUUUAAAUUUCAGUUCUAUAUCAUACUGUAAUCAUUUGAAACACAUCUUAAAUAGCAAGUAAACUGAACUCAUGUAGUUCUAACAUGGAACAUACUGAACGGUCAACCAACAGGAACAUGAGGCAGUGGCAACUCCAUUACCACCGCAGCCCAUAGGCAGCAUGGGAGGAUGCCAUCAAUUGUAAUGAACUCCUGAUACCAGAACUUUUAAAUAUGAAAAAAGUGGAAUUUGGAAUUGACAGUCUAAAGAUUUUCUUAUUUUCAGCUUUUUGUGUGUGUGUGAAAAUGAAAAAACGAUUCAGGCCCUUUCAAAAGCAGAAAGAUAAAUGCUUGAGGAAAGAAGGGCCAUGGAUAUAUUUGUGUCUCCUAUGUGUCUGGCACAGAACCUUGCACAUGGUAAAGAGUCUAAUAUACAAAUAAAAAUUACUAAAUGCAUGUGUGAUUCCAACCUCUUCUAGGAUGCUUACUUUUUCUAAAAGAUUAUGUACCAUAGAAUUUUUAAAAAUAGCAUUUAAAAUAUGAUUCAAUUUUUCCAACUUUGUAUUCACACAUAAUUUUUCAGUAGCACAUCAGAUACAUGCUCUAAGAUAACAUCUGUGUUUUGUCUCUGGCUAUGGAAAGGAAGAGCAAAUAAUCAGGAUUAGAAGAUCAGAGGAGGAAAAAAUCAGAUUAAAUUUAUGCUCUGGUUGACCUUAAUUUUGGUCUUCUGUUAUUUGUCCCUCCCUCUCUCCCAUCCUUCCUUCCUUCCUUCCUUCCUUCCUUCCUUCCUUCCUUCCUUCCUUCCUUCCUUCCUUCCUUCCCUUAAAGAGAAAUAGUGAGUCCAGAGGGUAUUAAUGGUAUCUGAUUGGAGGUCAAAAGAUGUAAGCUUCAAUCUGUUUCUUAAAGGGUUCUGAUGUGAAGACAGAUAGGCUACCUGAUUUCUGUUACGAGGCCCAGUGAUUUAUGAUUUUCUAGGUCCUUGGCUUUUUUAGGUCUUGGUUCUGGACAGUCCUAGGAACCUGAGGGCUGUGAGAACUAUUACUGUGAUUACUAGGAGUUGUUUUAGAGCUGAAUGGGAUUUUUAAAAAUGCAAAAAUUAAGAACAACCUUAUACCUUAAUAUUUUUGAGCUCAUGCUUUAGGUCUUCUACUGAAGGACUGGAAGAGUUUUUUUUUUUUUUAGUUUCUCAAUAUAAGGAGCUACCAAAUGUCUCUUGCUCCUCUAUGGAAGAUUGUUCAAUGGGUCUGUGCUCCAAAACUCCCUCAAGGGACUUUUCUCAGAAGGGGAAGAGGCACCUUCUUGUGAGAGGGAAUUUAAAUGAAAGCAGGAGCCAACAUGAGAGUGUUGCUGAGAUGUCUAUAAGUGCUAUGUGGUCACUGCUUUUUAGGGAUGGGGAGAAGACAGUCAGGAAACCAUACUUCAGCUUCUUUCUCUGUGCAAAAGGCACCAUUGGUGAAUAAAAGCCUAAUAAUACUCAGGACUCUGUGCAUGUCACCUAGGGAUUCAUUUUUCCUUCUGGUUCUUUACACAUUUCUUAACAUCUUCAAGGUGAAACUUCAAGGAAUUGUCAGCACUUGAGAUUUGUUAUUUUUUCUAGUUUCUUCAUUUACUCCCCAGUCCCUGUUUUUUUUGUACUUGGGGUUGAACCCAAGGGCAAUUAACCACUGAGCUACAUCCUUAGCCCUUCUUAUUUUUUAUUUUGAGACACGGCCUUGUUAAGUUGCUGAGGUUGGCUUUGAACUUUCCAUAUUCCUGCCUCACCCACCUGAGCUGCUGGGAUUACAGGCAUGAACCACCAUGCCCGGCUUCAUUUAUUAUUUUUUUGUGGGGGCAGGGUACCAGAGCUUGAACUAAGGGACAUUCGACCACUGAGCAACAUCCUUAGGCCUAUUUUGUAUUUAUAUUUUAUUUAGAGUCUCACUGAGUUGCUUAUCACCUUGCUUUUGCUAAGGCUGGCUUUGAACUCACGAUCCUCCUGCCUCAGCCUCCUGAGCCUCUGGGAUUACAGGUGUGUGUCACUGUGCCUGUCUGUUUAUUCUUUUCUUUUUUUUUUUGGUACUGGGAUUGAACUCAGGGGCACUCGGCCACUGAUUCAUAUCCUCAGCUCUAUUUUGUAUUUUAUUUAGAGACAGGGUCUCACUGAGUUGUUUAGCACCUCGCUUUUUACUGAGACUGGCUUUGAACUCAUGAUCCUCCUGCCUCAGCCUCCUGAGCCGAUGGAAUUACAGGCAUGCGCUACCGCGCCCGGCUUUAUUUAUUCUUAUAACUACUUUAGUCAGGCCUUCUCCUCGACCACUCCACCAGUCUUCUCUUGUCAAGAUUAACAGUUAGCUUUCAAAAUCCAGUUCAUUUCUUAGUCCUGUGAAUACCAUUUGACAGAGUUGUUUGAAUGAUUUGCUUCUCCUGAAAAUACUGUUCUUGAUAGACUUCAGGGGGCACACUUUCCUGGUAUUCUACCUCUCUGGCUACUCAUUAUAAGUAUCCUUUUUUACUGUUUUUCAUCUCUUUUACUGCUUUGUGUUGCAGUGCCCCAAGGACUAGUGGUCCCUGAACCUCUUCCUUCUUUGUAUAUGUACUCCCAUGGUCUGUCAUUUAAUCUAAUGGUUAAGUAUCACCUAUAUAUGCUGACAACUCCCAUAUUUUUAUCUUCAAUUUGGGCCUCUCCCUAGAACUUAGUUAUAAUUCAACUUCUUGUAAAAAGUCUUCACUCAUAUUUCUAAUGAACAUCUCAAAUUUAGCAUGUCCAAUAUGAGCUCUUGAUAUUGCUCACCUCUCCCUCUCAAAAACGUGUUCUCUUGAAAUGUUUUCCACACAACAUGUGGCAACUUCGUCGUCCCAGUAACUCCCAGUAACUUCCAGUAAAACCUUGGAGCCAUCGUUGGUCCUCUUUUUAUCUCACUCUCACCUAAUCUCUGGCUAAAUAUAUUUUAAACAAAUCACUUCUUAGCAUCUGCGCUGCUACUAACAGAUCCAAGAUGCUGUUGCCUCUUCUCUGGCCUAUGGCAGUAAUACCCUUGCUGUUCUUUUGCUUUUUGCUUAAUCUUCCUUUAUUCAAUUCUCAACAUGAAGGUUUUUGAUCACCCUAACUGAAAUUAUGUCUUUCUCUCCUUUGAACUGUCCAAUUGCUUCCCAUCUUUUUUUUUAAAUUUUUUUUAGUUGUAGAUGAACACAUAUCUUUAUUUAUUUAUUUUUAAUGUGGUGCUGAGGAUCUAACCCAGUGCUUUAUAUGUGCUAGGCAAGCCUUUACCACUGAGCCGCAACCCCCUUCCCCCUUCCCAUCUUAUUCAAUGGAAAAGCUAAAGUCCUUAUUAAGGAUCCAACUUCCCUUCAUAUUUCAGCUCUUACCUUGUUCUUCCUUUGUUCAUUCAAUUCCAGCUGUGAUGGUUGCCUUGCUUUAUUCCAAACAUGCCAUAUACAUUCCCACCUAAGGACCUGUGCCUGAGUUGCUUUCUAUCCUUUAACUCUCUACCCUUAGGAACUCAUACCUCAGCCUCCACUCUUUAAGUCUUUAUUCACAUGAUUUGAUUUGUUGCUGAGAUCUUCUUUGACCAUCCUUUAAUAAACAUGUAACUGUUCUCCUUCAAUGUUUUAUUUUGUCCAUUGUAUGUAUCAUCAUCUAACAUUUUAUAUCUUAUAUCUUUGUUUUCUAUUCACUCUAAAUUCCAUAGAGUCAGGGUUUCCAACAGUUUUGUUUACUGAUGUGCAAAUGGUGCUCAUCACGUAUAAUUCCUGAUGUUGGUUGAAUGAAUGAAUGUGAAUGAGAAAUAAAUACAUUGGGCUGGGAUGAGGGAGGCAAGCUCAGGUGAGUCAGGGCGGAGAGAAAGGUAAGUGAGGGGUUGGGAGUGAUACAUUCUAACGACAGCAGAGGAUGCCUGAGGAAGCUGCACAAUGAUAAAGUAUCUGGAGUUUAAUUUAAUAUCAUAGAUGAUAGUCUCUGGAAGACUUUAAGUAACUUUUUUGUAUUAUAUGGGGAUCCUUUUGAAUUGGAGGAUGCUUAUACUGUUAGAAGCACAUGAAGAUAGAUGUUUAAUUUCUCAGGUUGUUCUGGAAAAAUGAGCAAUGAUUCAGACAGUAAGAAGCAAGACUAGUCAAGAAGUAAAAGUACACAGCUGUUAAUCCUGUUGGUAGAAUCCAGACUCUUCAGCCCUCUCUGGUUCUUUAAUCUGCCUUAUUAGGAAGUGCUAUUUCUCUCUACAGGGGUGACACUUGGCUUCUUAGAAGCUUCUUGUACUUAUGAAAUAAAAAGCUUCCAUAAGCUUGUCAUAUUUGUCAGGCUUCUUAGAAUACUCGGGUUAAGGAACAGCCACUUACGCUAAAAUAAUUUGAGACACAAUAUGUAGAAUUGGAAAUAAUGCCGAGAAAUCUUUUGUGAAUUAUGACUUCUAGAUGUGAGUGUAGAUAAAACCUUCAUACUUGUAAACAUCAUCAUCUUAAAAGCAGUUGACUUUUUGGUCUGUUUUGUUAUUGGGGGAGGGGAAAGAUACCAUUCAUGUAUAGAUAGCAGAGUAUAUGAACUGCCAGCACAUUUCCAAGAAAUAAAGUAAUUAUCUGGGUUGGGAAUUCUAUUCUGAGACUGUUGCAUACUGUUAAUUAGGUCACUUCAUAUCUGAUGAACUAUUAAUAUAUUAUUUCCUGCCUUUUAAAUAACUAAAGUCACUGAUGGAUCAAAAUAAAAUAGAAUUCUGAAUUAUGUCAGAUCAUUUUCUCAGAAACCAGUUAAAUGUCGAUGGCUUUUGUUAUCAUGUAUCUUAGAGGUUUUAAAUGAGUGAAUUUUUUUCCCCAUUGUGAAAUAAUGCAUACUCAUUGAAGAUAAUUUGGAAAUGAAACUGAUAAUUUUGCCUUCCUGUGAUAGUCAUUAUUAAUAUUUUUGGUGGAUUUUUGCCAUGAAACAAAGGGGGGAAUGCCAUUAACUUGUAAUGUGCUUUAUUUUUCAAAUAUUGUGUAAGGAACAUUUUAACAUAUAAUUAGACAUCAUUCAAAAAAUUUAAAGGAUUUGAAGGCUGUCUUUGCAUGUAUACAUAAAUUCAGGUAUUUUGCUCCUCAGUAAGAUGAAUUGUAGUUGUUCCAAUGCAUUAAAGUAACAGCUCUUUUAGAGGCUAUACUCUAGUCUGGAUAUGAAAGAAGUAAAGACAUAGUCCUUGUCCUCAAAGGGCUUGAAAACUGUGGCUUUACUUGAUAACCUAACGAAGUUUCUUGCCAAUAUAUGUUGAUACAUUGAGAGUUUGCUAGCUCUUAAUGAGGCUGUGUUGCAUCUAUUCAUGUAGGUAAUGUACACUACAGUGACUCCCUAGGGGCCGUGUGUGGACACCUUUGUUUGUGUACCUAAUGACUUGACCAUUGUAGCCAUUAGUACAUUCCCUUUCUGCCCCCAUCUUGCCCCCAAAUUGCUCCAAACCAGUGUUGGUUAGUGUAACACUACUUGUGACACUCUUAAACUGACUGAAAUGUCACCAUCUCCCUGAGCUCCAGGAGAACUCAGAACAUCAUGGAGGAAGAUGUUUUUCUCUGAGAUUGUUGACCUAGGUUACAGUAGAUCAGGUGAUCCCCAAAGAUUUUUUUUUUUUUUUAUGUUUGCAAUUUCUAAGACUUUUUCCUUCUAGAUUCUUAGUUUGCAUUGCUUGUUGUCAUUUUGCUUUGUUGCUGUUUUGUGAAAGAACAGACUUCUAAUUUUGAAAUACAAAGUGAAGAAAUAGUAAAAACAGAGGCAUAAGAUCAAGUGAUGGGUUAAAAUGCUAACGCUAUGAUCCUUGAUGUAAUUCUCCCUUUGAUUGUUCUCGAUUGAAAGAAUGCUUUUUCCUUCCUAUUGUCGAGUACUACCUGCUGUCAGUUGGAGAGGAGUAAGUAGAGCAACUCCUCAAAAGAUUUUCUAAGCUCCCAUCAUAUGGUUCGCAGAAACAGAGCUGGAUUUUCAUUUCUUCUUUCAUUCAACAGGAGUCCCUUUCAUGUUUGAAAAUUGAAAACGCGUGUUUUUCAGUGUGGAGCGAGGAUGUGUGCGCCCUCUGGCACACCUGUUUCUAAUUUCCUGACUUGAAAGCAUAACCCAUCAAAAGGAGCAGAAAAACAAUUUCUUUCUGACACGCUGCUUCGUGGCCCUUACUGGACUGAAGGCCUUCAUGGCUUUGCCUUCUUGGUUCCCUCUGUAGAAGGUUCUUGUUAGAGACAGAAUUCACUUAAUUCAGCCAGUGCCUUUUAUAGCACAAGGCCAUUUUUGGUAUUAUUCUGUUGGAGUGGUGAUUCUUUUUAGCUCAGGAGAUUUGCUUGAAAUAAGGUUUACUUAAAAAAGGACACAGAAAGAUCUUUAAAAUUUUUAAGCAUUAAAUUUAGCCAGGCAAUGUGUUGGAAAGUUAGAUGUAAGCUAAUCAGUAAGCCGAUUGGCCAGGAGAAGGGAUUGGUUGAGCAUAUGAAUGUUUAAAUUCCAUAGUGCUGUUUAACAUAAAUCAAAUAUUUCCAAUGUGAUACUUCAGAUUUUGUGUACUUUCAAGUCUUGCCAGCUUAAAUGACUAGGAGGCACAAUGUGUUGACUUUAAAUUUUGUAAAUUGAUAAUUUGUUGCUACGAAAGUUGUACAUGGUAUAACUCAUCACUUUCUGAAGGUACAUAGUAUGUCUGAUGUUAGCAAGCAGUUACAAAAAAAUUGAUGCUGAGGGAAUUUGAGGCUUUGUUUUCAAAUGCUUGAAGUAUGGAUCUUCAGUUCCUUUUAAGGUUUCCCUGAACAUUUUCAGCAUAAGGUACUUGGUUCUUUAGACAUACACUUUGGUUUGGGUUUUCUGCUUCUAAGAGUUCUUUGGGAUAAUAAUCUUAAUGGUGUAUCCUAAAAACAGUUUCUCAGGUUAUUAUUAUUAUUAUUUUAUUCUUUUUUUUUUUUUUUUUGGUACUUGGGAUUAAACCCAGGAAUGCUUUGCCACUGAGCUGCAUCCCCAGCCCUUUUCUUAUCUUUUUGUUUUGUGAUAGGGUUUCACUAAGUUGUUCAGACUGGCCUUGAACUCAUGAUCACCUGCCUCAGCCUCCUGAGGUACUGGGAUUACAGAUGUGCAUCACCAGGGUGAUGAUGAUGAUGAUGAUGAUUGUUGUUGUUUUAAAACUAACUCUUCUCAAACUUUGGUUUGUAUGAAUCACAUGGGGGUUUUGUUAAACAUGCAGAACGUGAUCCAGUAAGUCUGAGAUAAGUCCUGGGAUCCUUCAUUUUUCACAAGUUCCCAGGUGAUAUCAGUGCUGUUGGUUCGUAAUAAUUGGUUUGUAGAUAGUACUUUAGGCAAUAAGACAUUUCACUGGGCAAAGUGAUGCUGUCCCCUAGCUGUGUCUCACAUACAAUAUCUGGUACAUACAAUUUACCAGUCUCUCUUUUCAUUGUAUUUGGUGAAUAUUAAGAAGAUUUGACUCAGCUAGAAUCACACCUGUGAUCCUAGCUACUUGGGAGUCUGAUGUAAGAGGAUAAGUUCAAGGCUAGUCUGGGAAAUUUAGUGAGACCCUCUCAAAAUAAAAUAUAAUAAAAGGGCUGGGGUGGUGGGAAGUGCUGGGGAUAUAGCUCAGUGGUAGAGCACUUGCCUAGCAUGCACAGGGCCCUGAGUUUAAUUCCCAGUACUAAGAGAAGAAAAAGAAAGGAAAAAAAAAAAAAGGAGGAGGAGGAAAAGGAGAAGAUCAAACUGUAGGGUAUUGUUGCAAGUAUUAACGAAUAGUUUAAGUUACAUUGAGCUAGCAUGGAUAAGGACUACCAAAAUGGGAUUAUUGUGCUGGAAGUAGUAAUAUCUAUGCUUCCUGACUCUCAUGGGCUACACCUAGCCUUGUAAAUUAGCAAAGAUUCUUGUUAUAAAUAGAAGUGUAUAAAACAAAGUGCUAGUUCUAAAAAUUGAGAGAGGAAUUAUAAAGCCACAAUUGCUGAAUCAAAUAUAUUUUAUUUUAAUCAGCUUUGUCCAUGAUGACUGGUUAAUUUGGGCAAAAAUAUUUAUUAGUGAGUCAUACAGAAGAAGUAGGGACAUGUACAAGCAAAAAUGUAGCAACCAUCAGUUUUCAUUCUUAUUACCUCGUUUUUGGAAUACUACCUUGUUAUUGAAUAUACAUUGUGAUUCUCAUUAGUGAAUUGUAGCAUGAUCCAGAUCAUAGUAUAAAAUGUCAUGACCGAAAGACACCUUGCAUUGUUUUAGAAUAUUUUGUUCAUAUCAUGACAAGUAUAUUUAGUUUUAUUUAUUUGUAAUUUUUUUUAACCUUUGAUGACAUAUAAUUGAAAUAAAUGCUGACUAAUUGAAGCAUGGAUAGUUGUUUGUAAAAAGUCUGAGUUGGGGGCUGGGGUUGUAGCUGAAUGGUAGAAUGCUUACCUUGCAAGUGUAAGACACUGAGUUCAAGCCUCAGAACCACAUACAAAUAAAUAAAUAUAGGUAAUAUGUCUAUAUACAAAUAAAAAACAUUUAAAAAUUAAUAGUUAACAAAAAUCUGAGUUGGGCAUUGUAGAAUUGAAGACUUUAAUUAAAAUUCCACAGUGGUAUUUUAGCUCCACAUGUACCCACAUUGAAUGGAAGCACAUUGAGGUGGGGAAGGAUUAUGGGAUUUGUAAACAGACUUGGGUUGGAAUCCUAAUGGAGGAGGCAGAUUGGAUAGAUUGUGUUUACCAGUCCCAGGAUCAGGACAUCUUUCCUUAUGGAGGAAAGACCUAUAGAUAUGCUAAUUAGCACUGAUUGUUUUCACCUGGCACUAUUGCAUUUCCUGUUAGUUGGGACUCAGGGUUAUUGCUGUUUAGUAAUCCUGAGGAUUUCUGGUUUUUGUAUUUUUCCUCUCUUCUAGUUUUAAAUUUAAGAAUAUUUUUACUGUUUUUUCAUAAUUAUAAGAAAGUAUGUAUUUUGUAAUCUAUCAUGUUUAUCACUUUUUCUUAACAUUGAUGAUAGAAUGAUAAGCUAUGAUUGUAUUCUGCUGUGAUGAUGUGGUAUUGGGUUCUUAGAAAUGUAAAAAGAUAAUUUGUUUCAAUGUAGCUAAGGUAGCUAGUAAAAUUCAUGUCAGAGGAUCAUAAAGAUUGGAAUAUUUAUUAAGCGUUUGUUUCAUCUGAGUUCUUCCUUGUCCUUAAAAUUUAGAUUUGCCUCUGCUUUACAUAUUAUGCCUUAUUUCUCAUGCUAUAGUAAAUGGGAUAUACAGAUAUAAUAUUCUCAACUUUUUCAUGUUUUUGUUUUAUAUAUUCUUAUUAGUCUGAUUGGCCUUAUCUGCUUUGAUUUCGUUCUGCAUCUAAGUAGGAUUUUCUUUCUUGUAGUUUUUCUCACUAGAAUUAUAAUCUGUUUGGAUCUAGAGUAAACAUAAACAAUAUAAUUCUGAGCUUUCCUCAGAACAACCUUUGCAGGCUAAACCCUGCCUAUGCCAUCAGGUUCAUGCCAUCAAGUUCAUGGAUAGUUUUUAGCAGCUCAUUGUGUGAAUUUCACAGAUAAUUUUUAUUUUAACCUACAAUCAUGGAUGACUCUUUUUAACAGGAAACCUUAGUUACCAUUGUUCACUCUUUAUUGCUGUUGUUGCAAUGUAAACAUGUUAGCACAGUUUCUUGAGGAGUGAAUAUUUCUGCAUCUCCACCUAGUUAGAAUCCCUUCCUUCCUUAUCUAUCUGAUGGGUGAGGCCUGGUUUAUCCUUCAAGACUGAGUCCAAAUGUCUUCUCUUUUGUGCAGUUUUUCUUCCUUUCUUUUCCCCUCUCUUCUUUCCCUUCCUCUCCUUUCUUCCCUCUCUUCCUACUUUUUCUCCUUGCCCAACUCCAAAGAUUUACUUCCUCUGAAGUCAGUGGUGCCGUAAUAUGACACAUAUAUCACUUGUAUCAUUGUUCUUCAACACAAAGCCUGGGAUCUCCUUGAGGAAGAGGCUGGUAGGUAAAAAAUACAGAAAGUGCUUAAUAAAUAUCUGUUGAAUUGAAUUCAGGAGCUCUUUGCCUGUUUUGAAGCACUGUCAAAGAGAUUCUGAUGGGUAAAUUAAUUGCUUGUUUUACAUCAAAAAGCCAGAACUAGCACUCUUGUUCAAGUACUUAGGUAUUCAUGGUAGAGGCUGUUGGUUUAUUUAUAAAAUGGAGCUUUUGCUUUAGUUUGGUUUAGUUUUGGUAAAGUGUAUUACUUUUAAAUUUCUUUUCUCUUAUUGUAAUACAUUGGGAUCCCUGAGUUAAGAUGAUCAGCUUAAAAUUUUCUGACAUAACAAUGGUGUGAAAGUGGUAUAUAAUUCAAUAGGAAUUGUGCUUUGAAUUUUAGUAGUUUUGAGCUAGUGGUACUUAGUAUGAUACUCUCUAGGUAGUGGCAUUGAGCGGCAGCUCACAGUCAGCUGCAUAAUCAUAAAGGUAAAUAACUGAUACUCUACAAUAGAUUGUGUUGCUGACGUGUAUUAAAUUAAUUUUUGACUCAUGAUAUUUUCAACUUAUGAUGGGUUUAGUUGAGUGUAACUCUGUUGUAAGUUGAGGAGUAUUUGUGAUUAUAUGCUUUGGGUUGCAAGUGAUAGAAAUCACAACUCCAGGGGCUGGGGAUAUAGCUCAGUUGGUAGAGUGCUUGCCUCAUAUGCACAAGGCCCUGGGUUCAACCCCAGCACCAAAAAAAAAAAAAAAAAAAAAUCUGCGCUUACCAAAGCCAUGUCUGUUGCCAUUAUUUUUGGCUUACAGAACUGGCUGUGGAAGAUGGAUGUUUUUGUUUUGAAAAAUCAAAUACAGUAGAUUAAAAAAAAUACCACCACAAAGUUUGUUUGUAUCUUCAUUUCACUUAGGUUGAAUAGAUGAAAUGGGAUCUGGCUUCUUUCAUAUUGUUUAUGUUCUGCUUUGCUUCUUGAUUCUGGGGCAGAAUUCCUAGUUCUCUUUGAAUUUAUUUUCCACUCAGGUAUCAUUUGCAAGAUUAUUUUAGAAAUUAAUAAAUAGAAAGUAGUUCUGAGCAUUAUAAUUGGGCUAAUAUGACACAAUAUGAUGAUGUUUCAUUAGCAUUAUAAAAUACUUUGAAACAUCUGUUCCCUUAGCUUAAUCUGUGUUGAGUUUUUUUUUUUUUUAAAUUUCAGAAGGAAGAAAGGCACUUUGCAUAAGUUACCACUGUAAUAUUUUAAAUGAAGGGUCAUUUGAAGGUCUCACUCUUUCAUCUUUUUUAAUAUAAGGGCAAAUAUAGAUGCUUGGUCUAUAUUUCACUUCUGUGUAAUAAAAUGGCCUAUAUAAAUAAAGUACAUAAAAUCAAAGUGACUAAAGUUGUUUUUGUUCACUGAAACUGUUAUAAAAGUGCCAUCACUAUGUGCUUAUGUGCAUACAUGAAUGCAUUCAUGGAUAGAGAUUUCACAGGAAUUUAAGUGUAAGAUUAUAUGCCCUGAUGGUUAGUUUUUGAUUAUUAUUUCAGCCACUAUAUUAUAAAUAUUAGGUUAUUAAUUAGUUGAUGGAAGUCAGUUUAAACAAGUAGUCUGUAACUGUUUGGUUAACCUGUUGUGAUCCCCAAAGUUUAUGGCUUAAUACAAUUACCAUUUUCUUAUAUCUCAUUAUAUUUUGUGUUAACUUGGUCUCAUGUGGCUAGUUCUUUGCUGGUCAUGCUUGAAGAUUCUCAUGUGACUGCAGUCACUUGGUAACCUGACUAGAUCUCCAUGACAGUUUCACUCACCUGGCUGGCAUCUUUGUGGAACAACUAGAAGGCUGAGCUCAGCUGGUAUGUUGGGAUGCUUUGGCCUUACAUUCCUCCCAAGCAGUAUUAGGGAUUAUCCCUGUCUCAUGUGGCCUCUCCAUGCAGGUAGUGAGAUGUUUUACAAGAUAGCUCUGUACUCUCAAAAGUACAAAAGUGAAACCUGUUAGCCCUCUGUAAGGCUUGUGUCUGAGGGUAGCAUUAUAUUUGUUAGUGUGAAUCACAGGGCUAAUCCAGAUUCAUUGUAGGAGGAAAUUACAUAAAGGUGUGAAUUCCAGCACUUGGUUCACUGGGUCCCAUCUUCGGAGACUAGCUAACAUAGUAAAUUUUUCUUUUGUGAAUAAUUGUUCUCCCCCUGAGAAUCUAAAAACUAUGGAUUUUCUCCCUGGAAGUAUGACUGUGAACACAAUUGCCUACAUAAAUGUGCACGAUUUUACUAAAAUUUCAUAGGAUUCUUAGUUGUGGCUUGUCAGCUUAAGUACCCCUUGUUUAAUGCAUAAAUUUAGUAACUACUAAGUUUGUUAUUUAAAUAAUAACUUUAUUGUUUUAAACUAACUGCAUAAAAUUUCAUUGUAUGGUUGUACUAGUCCCUUGGAAUGACCAUUGGGUAUUUCUUGGGUUUUGUUUUUAUUUUAUUUGCUGUUCUAAUAGCAGUAAUUUUCUUUUAUAUAGCUAUUGUAUAUAUUUAUUUCCUUACCAUAAAUUCUUAGAAAUGUACUUUCUGACUUAAAAGACUGGAUAUUUUAAAAGAUUUUGUUAGAUAUUGACUAUUCACUGUUUUCCUCUGAAAGCUUUCAAUUUUUAGAUAGCAAGUUUUAAUCUUUAGCAGGCUUUGAGUUGAUUGUUGAGUAUGGUAAGAUAAGAUAGAAUUUCACUUUUUUCUUUCUUUUUUUUGUUUGGACUUCGGGAUACUUUUUUUCUUAUUAAGAACAUGACCAUAUACUGACAUUUUGGUCAAUGAUGGAUCACAUAUUCGAGGGUGGUCCUGUAAGAGUAUAUUGCCUAGUGAUGUUAUUGUCAUCUUAGUUUAUGUAACUAUGAUCUGUGAGGUUCACAGAACAACAAAAUUGACUAAUGACACAUUUAUCAGAAUGUACACCUCUAGUUAAGUGAAUGUAACUGUUUUUUAAAAAUUGCACUAUUGAAAGCAUAUAAAAAUAUCUAAAUUAUAUAUGUAAUUUAUAAAAUAAAAACAUAAUCAAACACCUUGAAACUACCAUCACCUUAACAUGAACAUUUGUAGCUUUUUUCUAGCUUUACUAAGAUAUAAUUAACAAAUAAAAAUUGUAUGUAUUUUAGACAUAUAAUGUGAUGUUUUGAUAUAUAUAUAUACACAUGCUGAGAUGAUUAGCACAUCAAGCUAAUGAAUGUAUUCAUUAAUUCACAUGGGUAUCUUUCCUUUUUUAUGAUAAGAAUAAUUAAGAUUUACUCUCUUGGCAAAUUUAAAAUAUAUAGUACAUUAUUAGUAAGUAUUAGUUCUUAAUUACCUUGCUAUACGUUAGGUCCCCAGGGCUUACUCAUUUUCUAAUUGCAAGUUUAUGGCAUUUGACCAUUUUCCUCUUUCUUGGUAACCACCCUUCUGUUUUAUAUUUCUGUGAGCUUAGCUGUUUCAGAUUCUAUAUAUAUGUGAGAUCAUACAGCAUUUGCCUUUCUGAUUCUGACUUAUUUCACUUAGCAGAAUGUCAUCCAUUUUAUCACAAAUAGUAGAAAGAAAGAGAGAGAGAGAGAGAGAGAUCGAGCGAGAGAGAGAGAGCGGGCGAGAGAGAGCGAGCGCACAUCCAAGCAAGAGAAAGCUCGAGUCUGCACAGAAGCAUUUUCUUUAUUCUUUUAUCUAUCAGUAGAUACUUGGAUUGUUUCCAUAUCUUGGCUAUUGUGCAUAAUACUACAUUGAACAUAAGCAUGCAAACUUCUCUUUAAGCUAAGGUUUUGUUUUCUGUGUACACCAAAGGUGGGAUUGUAGGAUUAUGAUCCUAUGAGGUAGUUCUAUAUUUAGUUUUUUGAGGAAUCACUAUAUCAUUUUCCAUAAUGGCUGUGUCAAUUUACAUCCUCACUAAUUGUGUAAAAGGGCUCCCUUUUCUCCAUAUCCUCACCAAUAUUUUUUAUCUUUGAACUUUUUGACAAUAGCUAUUCUAAUAGGUGUGAAGUAUUACCUCUUUAAGGUUUUCUUUUUAUUUCCCUGUUAUGUGCCUAUUGGUCAUUUUUAUAUCUUUGUUGGGAGAACUCCUACUUAGGUAUUUUGCUCAUUUAUUAUUCAGGUCCCCCCCAAAAAAAACUAUUCACUUGUUUGAGUUUCUUUUGUAUUUUGCUUAUUAACCCCUUACCAGAUAUAUGGUUUACAUACAUUUUCUCUCAGUGGACUUCUUUGCAUUUUGUUGAUUUUUUCCCCUUUGUUAUACAGAACUAUUUUUAUUUAUGUAGUUCUACUUGUUUAUUUUUGCUUUGGUUGUCUGUGUUUUUGUUGUUGUAUCCCCAAAUAAUUUUUAAACUAAUAUUUUGGAACUUUUCCACUGUAUUUUCUUCUAGGCAUUUCAUAGUUUUACAUCUUAUGUUUAAAUCUUUAUUUUGAAUUUAUUUUUAUGUAUUGUAUAAAGAUCCAACUUUAUUUUUUACAUAUACAUACCAAGUUUUCUCAGCUUCAUUUAUUGGAGAGACUAUCUUUCUCGCAUUGUGUAUUUUUGUGCCCUUGUCAAGGAUCAGUUGACCUUGUAUAUGUGAGUUUAUUUCCAUACUCUCUGUUCAGCUGGUCUAUGUGUCUGGGUUUUUUCUUUUCUUUUCUUUUCUUUUCCCCUUCCUUCCUUCCUUCCUUCCUUCUCUCUCUCUCUCUUUCUUUCUUUCUUUCUUUGCCUAGUGUGCUGUUUUGAUUGAUAUAGUGUUGAAAUAUAAUUUAAAAUUAGGAAGUAUUAUGCUUAUGGCUUUGUCCUUUUUACUUGUCAUUUUGGUAUACUGUAAAUUUAAGGAUUAAUUUUUCUGCUUCUAUGGAAAAUGGCAUUGAAAUUUCAAGAAGGGUUAUAUUGGAUCUCUAAAUUGCUUUGAUGUGACAACAUUGAGAUUCUUCCAGUGCAUGAAUAGAGAUAUCUUUGCAUUUAUCUUUGUCUUUACCUUUUUUCAUCAAUGUUUUAUAAUCUUCACUGUAUGGGUCUCCUUGGUUAAAUUUGUUACUGUUUUUUUUUUUUUUCAUUUAUAUGUUUUAAACUUUUGAUGCUAUUGUAAGUGGAAUUUUUUUAUUUUCUAUUUCAUACAGUUUAUUGUUAGCAUAUAGAAACACACCUGAUUUUGUAUUAUUCCACAAUUUUACCGAAUUUGUUUAUUUGCCUUAACAAGAUUUUGGUGAAAAUUUGAGGAUUUUCUCUAAAUAAGAUCAUGUCAUCUGCAAAUAGAUAUAUCUUCAAACUCUGUCUUGUCAUCUGCAAACUCCUAGCUUUUGGAUUUGGUUCCUAUUUAUUUAUUUUCUUGCCUAAUUGCUCUAGCCAAGACUUCUGGUACUAUGUUGAAUGGAAAUGAUGAAAGUGGCCAUCCUUGUCUUGUUUCUGACUUUAGAGGAAACAUUUUCAAAUUUUCACCAUUGAGUAUGAUGUUAGCUUUGGUCUGUCACAAAUGGCCAUUACUGUGUUGAGGUACAUUCCUUCUAUACCUAAUUUGUUGAGAGAUUUUAUCAGGAAAGGAUGUUGAAUUUUGGUAAAUUCUUUUUACUGAUAUGAUCUUAUUGUUUUUGUCAUUCAUUAUGUUAAUGUGUGACUCACAUUUAUAGAUUUACAUUUUGUAUAAACCAUACUGGCAUUCCAGGGAUAAAUACCACUUCAUGACAUCAUGGUGAAUGAUUCUUUUAAUUUUCUAUUGAAUUUUAUUUGUUAGUAUUUUGAUGAGAAUUUUUGUAUUCAUGUUCAUCAGAGAUAUAGCCUUUAUUUUUCUUUUCUUGUAAUGUCCUUAUCUGAUUUUUGUAUGAGGGCAAUGCCUUGUAAAAUUAGUUUAGAAAUAUUCCCUUCUCUUCAGUUUUUCAUAAGAUUUUGAGAUUUAGAAUUUAUUAAUUCUACCAAACAUUUCUUUAAAUGUUUGGUAGAAUUAAAAAAAUUUAAAGAAAUGUUUGGUAGAAUUAAUAAAAUCACUAGGUCGUGGGCUUUCUUGGAUGGAAGACUUUUUGAUUACUCAUUUUAUCUUAUUCAUUAUUGGUCUUUUGAGAUUUUCUAUUUCUUUAUGAUUCAGUCCCAUUAGGUUUUAUGUUUCUUGAAAUCCAUUACUUUCUUCUGUGUUAUUCAAUUUUCUGGUUUAUAGUUAUUCAUAGUGUCUUAUGAUCCUUUAUAUUAAGUUAUAAUAUCUCUUCUUUCAUUUCUGAUAUAUAAUUUGUCAAUUUUGUACAUCUUUUCAAAACAUAACUCAUAAGUUCAUUUACCUACUCUAUUGUUUUUCUCAAUUUCAUUUAUUUCUGUUGUCAUCUAUAUUAUUCCUUCUUUCUACUAAUGUUGGGCUUAGUUUUUUUUUUUCUUUUUUAUUCCUACUUCCUUAAGAUAUAAAGCUAGGUUGUUUAAGAUCUUUCUUUCUUUCAUGUAGAUAUUUAUUACUGUAAACUUCCCCCUUAGAACUGCUUUCCCCGCAUCUCAUGUGUUUUGAUAUUUGUGUGUAUGUGUGGGUGUGUUUGGCAUCAUGACACACACACACACACACACACAAACAUAUAGACACUUAUACAUACAUACUGGAACUUGAACCUAGGGCCUCAUACAUGCUAGGCAAGUGCUCUUCCACUGAGCUACAUCCCCCAAUCUUUUUCAAAUUUAUUUUGGGACAGGGCCUUGUUAAAUUGCCCAAACUGGCCUUGAACUUGUGAUCUUCUUGCUUCAACCUCCCAAGUAACUGAGAUUACAGGCAUGUGCCACUGCACCUGCAGCAUCAUAUUUUCAAAUUUUCCUUUAAGUUUAGUUUUUUGGACUUGUUGCUUGCUCAGAAGCAUGUUGUUUAAUUUCCAUUGAUUUGCAAGUUUUCAAUUUUUCUUCCCUUUAUUGAUUUCUAGUUUCACAUAGUUAUGGUUGGAAAAAUAUUUGAUGUGAUUUCAGUCUUCUUAAAUUUUUAACACUUGUUUGUAACCUAGCAUAUGAUCUUACUGGAGAAUGUUCUGUGUGUAUGUAAGAAGUAUGUGUAUUUUUCUGUUGUUGGAUGCAGUGUUCUAUAUGUAUCUGUUAGGUCAAUUUGGUCAAAAGUAUAGUUUAAAAGUCCAGUAUUUCCUUAUUGACUUUCUGUCUUGAUGAUCUAUCUAUCCAUUGUUGAGAGUGAGACAUUGAAUUUCUCUACUAUAUUACUGUCUAUAUUUGCCAUCAGAUUUACUGAGUUACUUAGGGCCUCACUAAGUUGCUGAGGCUGACUUUGAACUAAAGAUCUUCCUGCCUGAGCCUCUGGGAUAAUAGGUGUGCACUGCCAGGCCUGGUCCGAGUUUCUCAUUUUGUCCUUUGUGUCUAUAUAUUCUUUUGCAGCUUGCUUAGUUUCUGAAGACAUUAUUAUUUUGAAUUCUUGUCAAAGAAUUUUCAUAUUUCUUAGAGUGUUUUAUAGCUCUCUUUGUAUUUGAAGAAGCAGUUGUCUCCCUCAAUAUUUAGAGAAACAUCUUUACCAUUCAGGUCAGAUAGGAAUUCUGAGUCUCUCUCUUAGACCUUAGAUCCAUAUCUCUUGAUCCCAUUUUUUUUUGGGUGAAUGGUAAUUCUCAAGAUUGUAUGCCUGUCUUGAUCCCUCAGAGUUGAACCAUCUGUUUUUAUGCAAUGCUUGCUUUUUGUUAUCUGUGAAGGCAUGCUUGGGAAGUUGGCCUAGUAGGUAGUGAAAUUUAUAAAGCAUUUGGGGGUAUCUAUAGGCUUGUUUGGUGUUUUAAAGUUGAGGCAUCCCAAGAAGUUUGAGUGUAGGCUUCAUGAAGAAGUUAUAGAGUGGUUAAUAGCAUCUGUAACCUCUCUUUUCUUCUUCCCUCCUCCUCUAACUACUCAACCAUGCUGAUUACUUUGUAUUCUGAGUGAGAUAACAAAGAAAUCAUAUUCUUGGGUAGUAUCUCUCUUGGCUGGGGGACCCAGGUACUUACUACUAUACACUUACUUCCUACUGUAGCAUAAAUAGUUAGCCAGGGUAUCUCUCUUGGCAUUGAUAUGUGCCACCUUGGGGGAGAAGUGAAAAGGGUUAACUAAAAUCAUUCCUCAUCUCUUGAAUGUGUUUGCCCUGAGACUUUUGUGAUGUAUCUAUAGGUAUGAAAUGUCUGUUGAACACUUGGAGUUCUGGAUUCUGAUAAAGGUAUUGUCAUUCAUAGAUAGUUGUCAAAAUUUUUGAUUCUAUAGAGGGAUGACAGUAGAAAGUUUCUAUACUACCAUGUUGCUUAUGACUCUGAUUAGUAAUACUGUUUUAUCUUCUUCUAUUAAGUUACAAUCCUUGCCUUUCCACAGUCACUAUUCUGAAAUUUGUGUAUUACUACCUUUUUCUUUUAUAAAAAGUUUAAUCACAUAUGUAUGUAUCCCUAAAUAAUAUAAUGUUUGAUUUUAUGGGUGUUUUUUUAAUUGUAGGAGCAUGGUAUCAUAUGAUAUGUGGUUCUCUGUCUUGCUUCUUUUACUAUUAUAUUUCCAUAGUGUUUUGUAAAUAUAAUUGUUUGAGCAUACUAGUACAUUUAUGUUUUUUUUCUUCUAUUUUUAUUUUAUAUUAUUUUGUUGGUACCAGGGAUUGAACCCAAGGGUGCUUAACCACUGAGCCACAAUGCCAGCCCUUUUAUUUUUUAUUUUGAGACAGGGUCUCGCUAAGGUACUUAGGGCCUUGCUAAGUUGCUGAGACUGGCUUUGAACUUUUGAUCAUCCUGCCUCAACCUACUACAUUUCUGGAAUUAUAGGCACGAGCCACCAAACCUGGCUAAUACAUUUAUUUUAAUUUUUGUAUAAUAUUCCAUUGGAUACCAUUGGAUAGCACUGGAUAGUAAUUCUCAGAAUUCUGUAUUUUCUUCUGAGCUUAUUAACUAUAAUUCUUCUAAAAAAAGACCUUUCAUUUAUCAUCAAUGUGUAGUUCACUUAUCAUUAACGUGAUAUAUACAGAGGUAUAGUUCUUAUAGGAAAGGCAGGAGAGAUGUUUAAUUCUUUUUAUUUUUAUAUUAAUUUUCAAAAUAAUGAGAUGAUAUAAGGCAGUCCCAAGAUAUUCAAUUAAGUAGUAUUUUAUAUAUUUAAUUUUUUUGCUGUUUAUUUGUAAAUUUGUGAAAUUAUCAAAUUUUGAAUUUUCAAAUAUUUUAUAUAUUUGUACCCAUCAUGUCCAUUUUUAUCUUCCCACGUAUUUAAAUGCUCUGUUUAUUAGGUGUAUACAUAUUUAGGAUUUUAUCUUUAAAUUAUCAUUUUUAUCAUUAUUAAAUAAAUUAUAAAAUUUUUAGAUGAGUCUUUGUUUUUUUUUUUUUAAUUUUUUAUUGUUGGCUGUUCAAAACAUUACAUAGUUCUUGAUAUAUCAUAUUUCACAAUUUGAUUCAAGUGGGUUAUGAGCUCCCAUUUUUACCCCAUAUACAGAUUGCAGAAUCACAUCAGUUACACAUCCAUUGAUUUACAUAUUGCCAUACUAGUGUCUGUUGUAUUCUGCUGCCUUUCCUAUCCUCUACUAUCCCCCCUCCCCUCCCCUCCCCUCCCCUCCCCUCCCCACUUCUCUCUCUGCUCCCUCUACUGNNNNNNNNNNNNNNNNNNNNNNNNNNNNNNNNNNNNNNNNNNNNNNNNNNNNNNNNNNNNNNNNNNNNNNNNNNUUUUUUUUUUUUUUUUUUAAUUUUUUAUUGUUGGCUGUUCAAAACAUUACAUAGUUCUUGAUAUAUCAUAUUUCACAAUUUGAUUCAAGUGGGUUAUGAGCUCCCAUUUUUACCCCAUAUACAGAUUGCAGAAUCACAUCAGUUACACAUCCAUUGAUUUACAUAUUGCCAUACUAGUGUCUGUUGUAUUCUGCUGCCUUUCCUAUCCUCUACUAUCCCCCCUCCCCUCCCCUCCCCUCCCCUCCCCUCUUCUCUCUCUGCUCCCUCUACUGACAUUCGUUUGUCCCCCUUAUAUUAUUUUUCCCCUUCCCCUCACUUCCUCUUGUAUGUACUUUUGUAUAACUCUGAGGGUCUCCUUCCAUUUCCAUGCAUUUUCCCUUCUCUCUCCCUUUCCCUCCCACCUCUCAUCCCUGUUUAAUGUUAAUCUUCUUCUCAUGCUCUUCGACCCUACUCUGUUCUUAGUUACUCUCCUUAUAUCAAAGAAGACAUUUGGCAUUUGUUUUUUAGGGAUUGGCUAGCUUCACUUAGCAUAAUCUGCUCUAAUGCCAUCCAUUUCCCUGUAAAUUCUAUGAUUUUGUCAUUUUUUAAUGCAGAGUAAUACUCCAUUGUGUAUAAAUGCCACAUUUUUUUUAUCCAUUCAUCCAUUGAAGGGCAUCUAGGUUGGUUCCACAGUCUAGCUAUUGUGAAUUGUGCUGCUAUGAACAUCGAUGUAGCAGUGUCCCUGUAGCAUGCUCUUUUUAGGUCUUUAGGGAAUAGACCAAGAAGGGGAAUAGCUGGGUCAAAUGGUGGCUCCAUUCCCAGCUUUCCAAGAAAUCUCCAUACUGCUUUCCAAAUUGGCUGCACCAAUUUGCAGUCCCACCAGCAAUGUACAAGUGUACCCUUUUCCCCACAUCCUCGCCAGCACUUGUUGUUGUUUGACUUCAUAAUGGCUGCCAAUCUAACUGGAGUGAGAUGGUAUCUUAGGGUGGUUUUGAUUUGCAUUUCUCUGACUGCUAGAGAUGGUGAGCAUUUUUUCAUGUACUUGUUGAUUGAUUGUAUGUCCUCCUCUGAGAAGUGUCUGUUCAGGUCUUUGGCCCAUUUGUUGAUUGGGUUAUUUGUUAUCUUAUUGUCUAAUUUUUUGAGUUCUUUGUAUACUCUGGAUAUUAGGGCUCUAUCUGAAGUGUGAGGAGUAAAGAUUUGUUCCCAGGAUGUAGGCUCCCUAUUUACCUCUCUUAUUGUUUCUUUUGCUGAGAAAAAACUUUUUAGUUUGAGUAAGUCCCAUUUGUUGAUUCUAGUUAUUAACUUUUGUGCUAUGGGUGUCCUAUUGAGGAAUUUGGAGCCCGACCCCACAGUAUGUAGAUCGUAGCCAACUUUUUCUUCUAUCAGACGGCGUGUCUCUGAUUUGAUAUCAAGCUCCUUGAUCCAUUUUGAAUUAACUUUUGUGCAUGGCGAGAGAAAGGGAUUCAGUUUCAUUUUGUUGCAUAUGGAUUUCCAGUUUUCCCAGCACCAUUUGUUGAAGAUGCUAUCCUUCCUCCAUUGCAUGCUUUUAGCCCCUUUAUCAAAUAUAAGGUAGUUGUAGUUUUGUGGAUUGGUUUCUGUGUCCUCUAUUCUGUACCAUUGGUCCACCCGCCUGUUUUGGUACCAGUACCAUGCUGUUUUUGUUACUAUUGCUCUGUAGUAUAGUUUGAAGUCUGGUAUCGCUAUACCGCCUGAUUCACACUUCCUGCUUAGCAUUGUUUUUGCUAUUCUGGGUCUUUUAUUUUUCCAUAUGAAUUUCAUGAUUGCUUUAUCCAUUUCUACAAGAAAUGCCGUUGGGAUUUUGAUUGGCAUUGCAUUAAACCUAUAGAGAACUUUUGGUAAUAUCGCCAUUUUGAUGAUGUUAGUUCUGCCUAUCCAUGAACAGGGUAUAUUUUUCCAUCUUCUAAGAUCUUCUUCUAUUUCUCUCUUUAGGGUUCUGUAGUUUUCAUUGUAUAAGUCUUUCACCUCUUUUGUUAGGUUGAUUCCCAAGUAUUUUAUUUUUUUUGGAGAUAUUGUGAAUGGAGUGGUUGUCCUCAUUUCCAUUUCAGAGGAUUUGUCGCUGAUAUACAGGAAUGCCUUUGAUUUAUGCGUGUUGAUUUUAUAUCCUGCCACUUUGCUGAAUUCAUUUAUUAGCUCUAAUAGUUUCUUUGUAGAGUCUUUUGGGUCUGCUAGGUAUAGAAUCAUAUCAUCUGCAAAUAGUGAUAAUUUAAGUUCUUCUUUUCCUAUUUUUAUGCCUUUAAUUUCUUUCGUCUGUCUAAUUGCUCUGGCCAGUGUUUCGAGAACUAUGUUGAACAGAAGUGGUGAGAGAGGGCAUCCCUGUCUUGUUCCAGAUUUUAGAGGGAAUGCCUUCAAUUUUUCUCCAUUCAGAAUGAUGCUAGCCUGAGGCUUAGCAUAGAUUGCUUUUACAAUAUUGAGGUAUGUUCCUGUUAUCCCUAGUUUUUCUAGAGUUUUGAACAUAAAGGGAUGCUGUACUUUGUCGAAUGCUUUUUCCGCAUCUAUCGAGAUGAUCAUAUGGUUCUUAUUUUUAAGUCUAUUGAUGUGGUGAAUAACAUUUAUUGAUUUCCGUAUAUUGAACCAGCCUUGCAUCCCAGGGAUGAAUCCUACUUGAUCAUGGUGCACAAUUUUUUUGAUAUGUUUUUGUAUCCGAUUCGCCAGAAUUUUAUUGAGGAUUUUUGCAUCUAGGUUCAUUAGAGAUAUUGGUCUGUAGUUUUCUUUCUUUGAAGUGUCUUUGUCUGGUUUAGGUAUCAGGGUGAUGUUGGCCUCGUAGAAUGAAUUUGGAAGUUCUCCCUCUUUUUCUAUUUCCUGAAGUAGCUUGAAAAGUAUUGGUAUUAGUUCCUCUUUAAAGGUUUUGUAAAACUCUGCUGUAUACCCAUCCGGUCCUGGGCUUUUCUUAGUUGGUAGUCUUUUGAUGGUUUCUUCUAUUUCCUCAAUUGAUAUUGGUCUGUUUAGGUUGUCUAUAUCCUCCUGACUCAAUCUGGGCAGAUCAUAUGACUUCAGAAAUUUAUCGAUGCCUUCACUAUCUUCUAAUUUAUUGGAGUAUAAGGAUUCAAAAUAAUUUUUGAUUAUCUUCUGUAUUUCUGAAGUGUCUGUUGUGAUAUUGCCUUUUUCAUCCCGUAUGCUAGUAAUUUGAGUUCUCUCUCUUCUUCUCUUCGCUAGCAUGGCUAAGGGUCUGUCGAUUUUGUUUAUUUUUUCAAAGAACCAACUUUUAGUUUUGUCAAUUUUUUCAAUUGUUUCUUUUGUUUCGAUUUCAUUAAUUUCAGCUCUGAUUUUAAUUAUUUCUUGCCUUCUACUUCUUUUGCUGUUGUUUUGCUCUUCUUUUUCUAGGAUUUUGAGAUGAAGUAUGAGAUCAUUUAUUUGUUGGUUUUUUCUUUUUUUAAGGAAUGAACUCCAAGCAAUGAAUUUUCCUCUUAGAACUGCUUUCAAUGUGUCCCAUAGAUUCCGAUAUGUUGUGUCUGUGUUUUCAUUUAUCUCUAAGAAUUUUUUAAUUUCCUCCUUGAUGUCUUCUAUAACCCAUUGAUCAUUCAGUAACCUAUUGUUCAUUCUCCAAGUGAUGUAUGCUUUUUCCUUCCUUCUUUUAUCGUUGAUUUUCAGUUUCAUUCCAUUAUGAUCAGAUAGGAUGCAUGGUAUUAUCUCUACUCCUUUAUAUUGUCUAAGAGUUGCCCUGUGACAUAAUAUAUGAUCUAUUUUUGAGAAGGAUCCAUGUGCUGCUGAGAAAAAAGUGUAACUGCUUGAUGUUGGGUGGUAUAUUCUAUAUAUGUCAGUUAAGUCUAGGUUAUUAAUUGUGUUAUUGAGUUCUAUAGUUUCCUUAUUCAACUUUUGUUUGGAAGAUCUGUCCAGUGGUGAGAGAGGUGUGUUGAAGUCUCCCAUGAUUAUUGUAUGGUGGUCUAUUAGACUCUUGAACUUGAGAAGAGUUUGUUUGAUGAACAUAGCUGCACCAUUGUUUGGGGCAUAUAUAUUUAUGAUUGUUAUGUCUUGUUGGUGUAUGGUUCCCUUGAGCAGUAUGUAGUGUCCCUCUUUAUCCCUUUUGAUUAACUUUGGCUUGAAAUCUAUUUUAUUUGAUAUGAGUAUGGAUACUCCUGCUUGUUUCCGAAGUCCAUAUGAGUGAUAUGAUUUUUCCCAACCUUUCACCUUCAGCCUAUGUAUGUCUUUUCCUAUCAAAUGCGUCUCCUGUAGGCAGCAUAUUGUUGGGUCUUGUUUUGUGAUCCAUUCUACUAGCCUGUGUCUCUUGAUUGGUGAGUUUAAGCCAUUAACAUUUAGGGUUAUUAUUGAGAUAUGGGUUGUUCUUCCAGCCAUAUUUGUUUAUUUAUGUUACUAAACAUGGUUUGUUUUCCUCUUUGAUUAUUUUCCCCCCUUUAGUGUCCUACCUCCCACUGUUGGUUUUCAUUGUUAUUUUCCAUUUCCUCUUCCUGUAAUGUUUUGCCAAGGAUGUUUUGAAGAGAUGGUUUUCUAGCUGCAAAUUCUUUUAACUUUUGUUUAUCGUGGAAGGUUUUAAUUUCAUCUUCCAUCCUGAAGCUUAAUUUCGCUGGAAACACAAUUCUUGGUUGGAACCCAUUUUCUUUCAGUGUUUGAAAUAUGUUAUUCCAGGAUCUUCUAGCUUUCAGAGUCUGUGUUGAAAGAUCGGCUGUUAUCCUGAUUGGCUUACCCCUAAAUGUGAUCUGCUUCCUUUCUCUUGUAGCUUUUAAAAUUCUCUCCUUAUUCUGUAUGUUGGGCAUCUUCAUUAUAAUGUGUCUAGGUGUGGGUCUCUUAUGAUUUUGCACAUUCGGUGUCCUGUAGGCUUCUAGGAUUUGGGGUUCUGUCUCAUUCUUCAAGUCUGGAAAGUUUUCUCGUAUUAUUUCAUUGAAUAGAUUGCUCAUUCCUUUGGUUUGAAACUCUGUCCCUUCCUGUAUCCCAAUGACUCUUAAAUUUGGUCUCUUGAUGUUAUCCCAUAUUUCUUGGAUGUUCUGCUCAUGGUUUCUUAACAGUCUUGCUGAGCUGUUUAUGUUCUUUUCAGGUUGAAAUACUUUGUCUUCAUUGUCUGAUGUUCUGUCUUCUAAGUGUUCUACUCUGCUGGUAGUAUUCUCAAUUGAGUUUUUAAUUUGGCUUAUUGCUUCCUGCAUUUCUAGGAUUUCUGUUUGUUUGUUUUUUAUAACCUCCAUUUCCCUGUAUAGUUGGGCAUGGAUUUUAAUGUUCAUACAUAAUAUAUAGUUAUCAGUUAUUAAUUUUUUUAAAUGUAUCCAUUUUAUUUUUGUUUGUUUGUUUAAGAUGGACACAAUAUCUUUAUUUUAUUUGUUUAUUUUUAUGUGGUUACAGGGAUUGGACUCAGUGCCUCAGGCAUACUAGGCAAGCACUCUACCACUGAGCCAUAGCCCCGGCCCAUCAAUUAUUUUUAAAAGGAAUUUCCCCCCUUUCUCCUUCUCUCAAUAUUUUUUUCAGUUUUUUAAUUUGUUCUAAUGAGUUAUACAUUACAGUAGAAUGUACUCUGACAUAUUAUACAUAAAUGGAGCAUAAUUUCUCAUUCUUCUGGUUGUAUAUGAUGUAGAAUCAUACCAGUCGUGCAGUCAUAUAUGUACAUAGGCUAAUAAUGUCUGACUCAUUCUAUGAUUAUUCUUACCCCCAUGCUGCUGCCCCUCUCUUUACCCCCAUUUACCUAAUCUAAAGUAACUCUGUUCUUCUCUAGCCUCCCACAAUGUGAAUUAGCUUUCACAUACAGAGAAAACAACCAGCCUUUGAUUUUUGGGGGAUUGGCUAUUUCGCUUAGCAUGAUAUUCUCCAGCUCCAUCCAUUUAUUAGCAAAUGCCAUAAUUUCAUUUUUCUUUAAGGCUGAGUAAUAUUCCAUUGUGUGUGUGUGUGUGUGUGUGUGUGUUUCUUUAUCCAUUUGUCUGUUGAAGGGCACCUAUGUUGGUUCCAUAUUUUAGCUAUUGUGAGUUGAGCUGCUAUAAACAUUGAUGUGGCUGUGUUACUAUAGUAUGAUGAUUUUAAAUCCUUUGUGUAUAAACCAAGGAGUGGGAUAGCUGGGUCAAAUGGUGAUUACAUUCCUAGUUUUCUGAGGAAUCUUCAUAUCCACUUUCCAUAAUGGUUGUACUAAUUUGCAUCCUACUCGCAAUGUAUGAGUGUACCUUUUCCCCUACAUCCUUGUUAACAUUUACUAUUGCUUGUAUUCUUCAUAAUUGCCAUUCUGAGUGGAAUAAGAUGAAAUCUUAGUUUUGAUUUGCAUUUCUCUAAUUGCUAGAGAUGUCGAACAUUUUUUCAUAUAUUUAUUGACCAAUUGUAUUUCUUCUCUGAAAUGUCUGCUCAUUUCCUUUGCCCAUUUAUUGAUUGGAUUAUUUGGGUUUUUUGGUGUUCUUCCCUACCCCACCCCCACUAUCCUCAGCCCUUUUUAUUUUAAUUUUAAUUAAUUUAUUUUUUAUUUAUAUAUGACAGUGGAAUGCAUUACAAUUCUUAUUACACAUAUAGAGCACAAUUUUUCAUAUCCCUGGUUGUAUACAUAGUAUAUUCACACCAAUUUGUGUCUUCAUACCUGUACUUGGAUAAUAAUGAUCAUCACGUUCCAUCAUCAUUAAUAACCCCUUGCCCCCUCCCUUACCCUCCAAUCCCUCUGCCCUAUCUAGAGUUCAUCUAUUCUUCCCAUGCUCCCUCUCCCUACCAUCCCACUAUGAAUCAGCCUCCUUAUAUCAAAGAAAACAUUCAGCAUUUGGUUUUUUGGGAUUGGCUAACUUCACUUAGCAUUAUCUUCUCUAACUCCAUCCAUUUACCUGCAAGUGCCAUGAUUUUAUUCUCUUUUAUUGCUGAGUAAUAUUCCAUUGUGUAUAUAUGCCACUUUUUUUUAUACAUUCAUCUAUUGAAUGGCAUCUAGGUUGGUUCCACAGUUUAGCUAUUGUGAAUUGUGCUGCUACAAACAUUGAUGUGGCUGUGUCCCUGUAGUAUGCUGUUUUUAAGUCCUUUGGGUAUAGACUGAGGAGAGGGAUAGCUGGAUCAAAUACUGGUUCCAUUCCCAAUUUUCUAAGAAAUCUCCAUAUUGCUUUCCAUAUUGGCUGCACCAAUCUGUUUUUUUUUAAUUGAAAAUCAAAAUAAAAACUUACCCUAGUGGUUUAAUACCAUAGAUUUUUACAUAAAAUUAUAGCCUCAUGGGUUCUUAAUUGGGGUUUGUGGAUCCUGUGGAAUUUGUACAUGGAUUUCCAUGGGGGCAUCUUGUAAAUUUCCUUAGUCCUUAUGGAAAAUUGUAGGCAAAGAUAUACUGUUUUCUCACAAUCUGGGAGAGAUUAGGAAGCACAAUUUUAGAUAAUUUUAAAUAAAAUUGUUAAUAAAUUUAUAGGCCAGCAUAAAUCUUAAAAGUAAUACAUGUAUUUUAUUCAUUUACUAGAAUUGCUUCUUAAUGAUAAUAUCAACUACAAACUUUAUAGAGUGCUAAAUUUUAUAUUGUCUAUUUGCCUUUUGCUAUAUAACUUAUUUUAGUUGUCCUAAAUUUUGCUUUUCUUUUUCAUAUCUUCUCAUAUGUUUGUUUUACCAGUUGGUGCAAAGACAAGUUUUGGAUAAUUCUAUGUUGGUAUUUUUACCAUUUUCUUUUCCUCUCUCUGAAUAGUUAUGUCUUUUUACACCCUCAAAACCAGCUUAGAUGCUAUAUUGAAUAGAGAAAGGAAUAAAGUAGUGAGCAUAUUUAAGACUUUUUUCCAUUGUACUUUAUGUGGCCUCUAAAUACUCAAUGUUGUUUUAAAACUAUGAAUACAGCUUUAAACAUAAUAAAAUGAUUUGUAUUGCUGCUCCUUUCUACAGAGGAAUUUAUUGAGAAGUAACAUUAACUUGAACUUCCUUAUUUAGUUUUUAAGGAGCCUCUGGCCAUUCAAAUUACUGCCAUAAAUCACUUCUAAAUUUUGAGUCAUUAAGAAAAUUAUUAAUUGAAUAUAUACUAUAUGACUGGCUUAGUAGUUAUAGGUUAAAUUAAUGGCAUAGUAUGGGUCUUAUAUUUCUUCUGCUUGUGGACUUUAUACAAUGUGUAUGGUCAAUAUAUAUUAUGAAAUAUUUAUUCUACAUUAUAUAAUAAUGUAGAAUACAUUCUACAUUAUUAUAAUUUAAAUAAAUAAUAAUUUAUUAUAAUAGUUAUUAUAAUUUAUUAUAAUAAUUUAUAAUAUUAUUCUACAUUAUAUAAUAUUUAUUCUACAUUACGUACUUGUAGAUGUUUAUAAUUGGAUCUUGGCUUUUUGGCAGAUGAAAUGCACACUGUGGCUUUGAAUUUAAAUGAAAUCUCAGUUUUAACAUUACUGCUUUGGGAUAUAUUUGGUGACUUACUCUUUCUAGGACUUUGUGGUCAAAAUUUGGGGCUAUCUAUAGUUUUAAAGAGAUUUAAGGAACAGAUCUGUUGAACUACUUACCUAUAGAUAAUUAUUAAUAUUGACCAUGUACUCAGAUUUUCAAGGCUUUGGGCUUUUCUUCAUUUGUUUCUCCUUUAUUUACUUGAUGACACAGUAGCUGACUACUGUGGAACAUCCAUCUUUCUUGGAGUCACAAAACAUGAAUCUUAGAAUUUUAGUUUUCAGAACUCACUUUUCUUAUUUAUCGACUAGAGAUGAUAAUACCUUAUUUACAAGUUAAUUGUAAAGCCUAAUGGAAUGUGAAAGCCUCAUUAUAUAAUAUUUGAUCAAUUAAUACUGAAGCCAAGAGCAAUGACCUUUUUUCUUUCUCCUUAAAAAACUGAGUUCUCUCAAUGGUCAAAUGUUUUCUCUCAUAUGUGCAAGCUACAGUAAAAUAAUGGAAAGUGGGAGGAAAGGGUAAGAUUAUAUAAAGAGCCAGUCAAACACAAAUUAAUAGAUGAGUAAAAAAGAAGUCUAGUACAGUAGUGGAAGGAGAAUCGGAAAAGGGAGGAAGGAUGUGAGGGAAAAGGGGAAGGGGAAAAGGGGAAAGGAAAAAGGAUGAGUCAUGAAUUGAAAUUGAUUCCCAUGUAUGUAUGUUUGUCAGGAUGAACCCAGCUAUUAUGUGUAACUAUAAAGCUCUAAUAAAAAAAAUGAGAAACAAAAACACAUAUGUUAUAAAACAUUGAAGAAAAGCUCAAAUAAAAUAAAAACAUAAUAAUAAAAAUUUGAGUUCUUUAUAGUUCAAUCUAAUCUAAAUAUCCUGUUUCACUGAUUAAAAAAUUUAAAGAGUUUUCUCAUAAGUAGUCUACCCACUGUGACCCUUUAUGUAAACUCUUAUCAGAAAAUUAUUGAAGUUGUAAAGUACUUCCAAUCAUAAAUAUUUUAUGCUGUGAGGAGUUUAAAACCAAUUAAGAAAAAGCCAUUUAAUUUUUAAAUGAGGAAACUGAGGCACAGAGAUCCUAAGUGACUCAUAUAUAGCUGGUUCUCCUUGUCUGUGGUUCCUCUUUAAAGGUACAGAAAUCUAGUUAGAAGAUUGGCAAGAUCACCAACUGAACAUUACAAACAGUAUUACUUCUAUUAUUUGUUGCUGUCUCUGUUGUUUGUUUUAUUCCCUCUCUGAGGUCCAACAUUUUGAGCAUAUUGAGUGGAUGCUCUGCUACUGAGCUAUACUCCCAGCGCAACUAAAGAGAAAUUUCAUCUUAUUCCACUUAUGACCCAGCCAUGCUAGAGCCUUGCUGGAUACUUCAACUUAAAGAAUAGGGGAGAUUAAAAAAAAUUCUGUAGAAAAUCUUACCAGUAGACUCAACCAGUGGAAGAAAGAAAGAAUAUAAGGACUUGAAGAUAAAGUAGAUGAAUUAUCACAUUCUAAGAGUAGUUAAAAAAUAAGAAUGAACAGAAUAUAUAAGAUAUAUGGGAUAGCAUUAAAAGACCAAACAUACAUAUAAUUGUAACAGAAGAGAGAAGAGAAUAAUGAAUUAAAGUCAUAGAAAGCCUAUUCACUGAAAUAAUAGCUGAAAAUGUCUCAAAUCUUGGGAAAGAUUCUGACAUCCAGGUACAGGAGGCAUUUAAGAUCUCAAAUAGACAUGAAGAGAAAAUAACUUCUUCAUGACAUAGUAAAGUUAACCUGCCCAAAGCACAGAACAAAGAGAGACUCUUAAAAGUUACCCAAGAGAGGAGCUGGGGUUGUGGCUCAGUGGCACAGUGCUUGCCUCAUAUAUGUUAGGCACUGGGUUCAAUCCUCAACAUCACAUAAGAAUAAAUAAACAAAAUAAAGAUAUUGUGUCCAUCUAUAGCUUAAAAAAAAGUUGCCCAAGAGAACUAUCAAGUCAUAGUUAAGUCAAACCCAUUAGGAUAACAGCAUAUUUUUCAACAGCAACUGUAAAGUCUGGAGGGCAAAGGAUAUGUUUUAAUAUUUCAAGUCCUGAGAGACAAUGGUUGCCAAUUUAGAUUACUAUACUCAGCAAAGUUAUCCUUCAGAAUCAAAGAAGAAAUAAAGAACAUUCAAGAUAAGUAUAAAUGAAGGGAAUUCAUGACUGCUAAAUCAGCAUUACAGAAGAUACUUUAAGGAAUCCUGCACCUAGAAAAGAAAAAAAAUAUAUAAAGACAAUUAUGAGAACAUGGAAAAGAACAAAUCUCUGUAAAAUAGUAGGAAAGCAAAUGAGAAUUAGGAAAGAAUCAAACAUUACUGAUAUAUUAAACCAUCAAACCUCUAAGAUGAACAAGGAAGGAAGAAAUGAACAUAGAAUAAUCAAAACACCAGAAAGAAAAAACAACAAAAUAGCAGGAACAAGUAUAUAUUUUUCAAUAUUAACCCUGAAUUUAAAUGGUUUCUAUUCUACACUUAAAAGACAUAGGCUGACUGACUGGAUUAAAAAACAAGACCUAACACUAUUCUGCCUUCAAGAUACUUACAUAAGUAACAAAGACAAGCACAGACUUAAAGUGAUGGGAUGGAAAAGUGAAAUCAUAGCAGACUAGCUGUAUUCAUGUCUGACAGGUCAUACUUUAAGCUAAAAUCUAUCAGAAGAGUCAAGGGAACAAUUCAUCUUUAAAUAUGUAUGCACUGCACAUUGAAUCACCCAAUUAUAUAAAAAAGCACUACUGGACAUAAAGAGAUAGGUAUUUAUUAAUUACCCCAAUUCUCACCAAUAGAUAGAAAAUCCAGACCAAAAAAAGUCAAUACAGAAAUCUCAGUGUUAAAUUAAACUAUAGUUAAUGGACUUAAUAGAUAUCUAUUGUAUAUGCCAUUCAGUAGCUGCAGAUUAUACAUUCUUUUCAUUAGCACAUGGAACUUUCUCCAAAAUAGAUUAUAUAGUAGGUCAUAAAGCAAGCCUUAAAAAAACUCCAUGCAUGAUACCAUAUUAUAAUGGAAUUAUAAUUCCAUGCAUGAUACCAUAUUAUAAUGGAAUUACAACAAGAAUAAUUGCAGAAAUUAUGCAAACAUGUUCAGAUUGAACAAUAGGAUCUGAAAUGACAAAUGGGCCAUUGAAGAAAUAAAAAAGGAAAUUUAAAAAUUUCUAGAAUUAAAUGAUAAUGGAAACAACAUACCAGAACUUGUGGGAUAUAGUGAAAGUAGUAAUCAGUGAAGUUUAUAGCUAAAAGUCCCUAUUGGGGGGGGAUUAAAAAAAAUCUAAUGAUGCAUCUCAAGAACUUAAAAAAAAAAAGAAAUAAAUUAAAACCCAAAUCAGGAAAAGGAAAUUAAUAAUAAGGAUUAGAGCAGAAUAAAAGAAAAUAGAGACUAAUAGAACAAUAAAAGGAUCAAUGAACAUAUAGUUAGUUCUUUAAAAAUGUAAACUAAAUUGACAAACCCUUAGCUAAACUAAAGGAAGGGAAAACCUAAGUGAAUAAAAUUAAAGAUGAAAAAGGGAUAUUAUAAUAAACACCUUUUAAAUAAAUUCAUUGAAUUAUUAAGAAUAUUUUGAAAAUCUUUACAUCAAUAUAUUUGAAAGUCAAAUUGAAUGAAGAGGAUAUUAAAAACCUAAAUAAGGCAUAACAAGCAAUGAGAUUGAAGUAGUAAUAGAAAUUAUACUGGGGCUGGGGAUGUGGCUCAAGUGGUAGCGCGCUCGCCUGUCAUGCGUUCGGCCCGGGUUCGAUCCUCAGCACCACAUACAAACAAAGAUGUUGUGUCCACCGAAAACUAAAAAAUAAAUAUUAAAAUUUUCUCUCUCUUUCUCUCUCUCUCUCUUAAAAAAAAAAAAAGAAAUUAUACCAACAAAUAAAAGCCCAAGACUGGAGAAAUUUACUGCUGAAUUUUACCAGACUUUUAAAGAAAAACUCAUUAAUGCUUCUCUAACUAUUCCAUAAAAUAAAAAUGGAAAGACUUUUUUUCAGACUCAUUCUACAAAGAUAGUAUUACUUUGCGACCAAAACCUGAUAAGAAUACAGCAAAAAUCUAUAGACCAAUGUCCUUGGUGAAAAUGGAUACAGAAAUCCUCAAUAAAAUACUUGCAAAUCAAAUUUAAUAGUAUUUUUUAAACCUCACACAGUUUGAUCAAGUUGAUUUUAUUCCAAGGAUACAAAAGGGACUGCUGUCAUAAUUUUUUUCUUCAGGAGUUAAUUAAACCUCAUCAAGCCUAAAUAAAUUAGGUAUAGGGGAAUCAUACCUCAACAUAAAAGGGCUGCAUAUGACAAAUCUAUAGCCAUCAUCACACUAAUGGGGAAGAAUGAAAGCAUUUCCUUUAAAAUCAGGAACAAGUCAAGGAUGUCCACUUUCUUCACUUUUAUUUAAUGUAGUACUUUGAAAUUUUAACCAGAGCAAUUAGGCAAGAGAAAGAAAACAAAAAGUGAUAAAAGGAGGAAGUCAAAUCGUUCUUGUUUGCAGAUGAUAUAAUUCUAUACUUAGAACACAUGAGUUCACAGAGAGACUUAGAACUUACAAAUUAAGCAAGGUAGCAGGAUGCAAAACCAAUAUAUAAAAAUCACUAGCCUUAAGUCAAACUCGGAAGGUCAAGAGUUGUAUGUUUUUUUCUCAUAUGUGGAAGGAAGCUAGAGAGGAGAAAGGAAAAGAAAGGUGUGUAUGCUGAUGCAUGGAGUAGCGGGGAUCUCAUGAAAAUCAAAGGGAGCUCAGUAGAGGAAAGGGACAAAGGGGUGAGAGGCUGGGAAGGCUUGAGGAAGUGCUAGAGAAUGAUAUUGGCCAAAUUAUAUUGUUAUAUUAUGUGCAUGUGUAAAUAUGUAACAACAAAUCCUAUCAUUAUGUACCACUAUAAUGCACCAAUAAAAAAUGUGGGGAAAAAAGCAGCAACAACAACAACAACAACAAAUCAGUGGCCUUUUUAUACACUGAUAAUUAAAUCCCUGAGAAAGAAAUUAGGACAGCAGUCCCUUUUGCAGUAGCCUCAAAAGAAAACAAGAAGAAAAAUAAAAGAAAUUGUAAAUAAAUUAUAAAUUGUUUUUGAAGAAUUAAUAUUGUUAAAAUAGCCAAACUACUGAAAUGGAUCUACAGAAUCAAUGUAAUUUCCAUCUUCUGAGACAGAUCUCAGAAGAAUAUAUGAAAAUGCUCAAUUCCUUAACCAUUAGGAAAAUGUAAAUUAAAACUACAUUAAGAUUCUGUCUAAGAUUCUGUCUUAUCCCAGUCAGAAUGGCUAUUAUAAAAAUUUUUAAAAUACCAAAUUUUAGAAAGGAUGUGGAGGAAAAUGAACCCUUAUACAUGGUUUGUGACAAUGUAAAUUAGUAUAGCUACUACAGAGAACAGUGUAGAGGUUCCAUUAAAAUCUAAAACUAGAACUACCAGGUGAUCCAGCUUCCCACUGCUGGGUAUAUCUUGGAAGGAAAUAAGUCAGCAUAAAAUAGAGAUAACCUACAUACCUUUGUUUAUUGUAGGACUAUUCAUAAUAGUUAGGAUAUAGAAUCAUUCUAGCUUCCUGUCAAAAGAUGAAUAAAGAAAAUACGGUUUAUAUACUCCACAAUGGAGUAUUAGCCAUAAAGAAAAAUGAUUUUUUUUAAUUUGCAGGAAAAUGAAAGAAUUUGAGGUCAUGAUGUUAAGUGAAAUACAAAUAUCCCUUUUUCUCUCAAAUGUGAAAACUUUAUCAGGGAAAGGGAAGAAAUUGGAUUGAGGGAGAGAGAAGAGCGGGCAAGAGAGGGUGGAAGGAAGGAUAGAUAUGAUCUAAGCAUGAUUAAUGCAUAUAUGGAAAAGUCACAGUGAAACUGAUUGAUUUGCAUAUUAAUAUGCAUUAGUAAUUAUAAUAAAAUGAGAUAGAAGUGAUAGAAAUUUAGGGGAACCUUAAGAAUAUGUGAUAGAAAUUUAGGGGAACCAUAAGAAUACAUGUCUACUGGGGAAGGUUGUCUCUGAUUUUUUUUAUCUACCUUUGUCUAUUUGUCCCUGAUGCUCUAAUUACAAUAUUGUAAUUUAGAUAACUAAACAGAAAGCAGUACCCUUUCAUUAUUUGUAUUGGCUCUCAAAAUAAUGUUGGCUAAAUUCCAAUGUUGAGAAAGAGUGGCAAGGGAAAGAUGAGUGGCUCAAGAUUUAGGAGGAGGGAAGUACUGUGUGGUGUGAACCCAGACUUUCUCUGACAUGAAUGAUUGGAUGAAGGGUUUUCACAACUUACUUUUGUUGAAAAUUUUUUUUGUUAUGCUUUAGUUUCUUUGAAAUAAGUUCUAAUCUAUGAAAAUAUUGCAUUUACAAAACUGAAAAUUUACCCAUUUCUUUGGAUACUUGUUUAGACAGUAAAAACUUUUGUUGUUUGGUUUUAUCCUCUCUAUAAAAUUGGCAAUAAUGAUAAAAGCCAAUUAACAUCAACUAUAUAAUAUAUAUGCUAUAUGCCCAGCCCUGUGAUUCAGAUAUUUUUGUGUUAGAUUGUAACUAUUCUAAUAUAUUUUUAUAUUAUAACUAAUCAUGAAAUUCUGAAGAAUAUAUUAAUCACAUCCUAGUUUUUAAGAGAUGAUACCUCUAGGUGUCAAUUAUAAAAUUGGUUUUGUUUUGGUUAUUAUUUCUCAAAGGAAAAAAAUGAAAAAGCCUGAGUUGUUUUUAUUAUGUUACUGUAAAUAACUAAAGUGUGAUGAUAAUCAUGGUUUAGAAAGAACUGAAUAUGUAUUCGAGAAACACUAAAUGUGUGUUGGUGAGCUCUAACCUUUGGACUUGACUGGAUUAGACAUCUUUACCACUUAACUCCAUCUCUUUAUAAAACUCUUUAUGUUUUCCUCUUGUAUGUAAUAGGUUCCAGGUUUGAUAACCAUGGGAACACUGUCAAGACUGAAAUCAUGUGUGUUCUAUCACUUUUAAGGCAGCCCUCUCUUUAAUUUCACAAGACAGGCUUGAAAACCAGAAGUAACCCAACUCCAAAAUUGGCAGUAAAUCCUCCGACAGGGAAAAGGUGACGUACUGUGUAAUAAAUUCCUUUGUUGAAAAGGAGAUGUUGCAAUACUGGAAACUGAAGUACCAAAUGUUUCCUUUUAAAUUUGGAAAGGUCUUUCUUCAUUACUUAUCUGUCCCAAUGGACUUCUAACAGGGGAUGUGUUGAAAGAGUUUUCAGAUGCCCACUAACCACAGUGAGAGUGAAUGGCAGCAUUUAUAAGAUGACAUAAAUACUUCAAAAUCAUCAGUGAUCCUUGGAGAUGUAUGGUGUGCCAGUGGUACUUACUGAAUGUGGGCUUUUGUUGCUGCUGAUCCUGAGCUCUUGUGUGCAGCCAUCUGGAAAUAUGGAUGUAUCUCUUCUAUGAAUGCAAUUUCACUUUUUUCCCCCUUUGGGGGCUCUUAUAUCAAAAUUAAAGUUAGAGUGGUUUGUAGAAGAAAUAAAGUCUGCCAAAGAGGAGAAAGAUCUGUGAGAUUAUGAGUUAUUCUUUAAAAUCCUAAUCUCAUUUUGAGGUCCUGUGGAGGAAUUAUAUCAUACUUCUUAACCAUUUUAACACUAAAUUAAAAUCUUGACACAAUAUGAACUUUUAUUUUUUAUUUUGUAAUAGUGUGACUGAUACCACCACUGAUAUUAUCAUGACAUGAAAUAAAGAUAAAGAUAAAAAUGACUGAAAAUGAUUAAUGAGGAUAAAUGUUAGCCAAAAGUUGCUAAUUUUUGUUGCUCUAUCUUUAUUCAAAAGCUUUUCAGUUUGUUAUUUUUACCUUUUAGACCUAUACAUGACUUGACAGUAUGAUUUUACUAUGCUACUCCAUUACCUAUAUUUAAAUGUCUUAAUUUAAAGAUUUUGUCAUUAGCCCUGAAGUAAAAAGACAGAAUUCCUAGUGAAAGUCAGAUGAGGGAAAGCCCUUUGGCAUCGGUUCACAGUCACUGUUACAAACUCAUGCCCUCCAGAUACAAGUAAAGUACAUGGGACCACACCAUUAUGCACAUCCUGCCUCACCCCUUCCUGUUUUGCCUUAAGAGAAAAUAUUGUGAAUGCAAGAGUGUCUUAUUAAAGUUGGGCAUUAAACCUGUUAGGAAUAAACUACAAGCAAAAAUCAUGUAUCCACAAUCCCUGAAUAACCUCAGUUAAAAAUUUUUGUUGCUAGACUAAAAGAAAUCUUUAUCAUAUUAUUCAUUUCAUUUUGGUAAUGGGAGGUUUAUCCAGGUAGUCCUUUUGACCUUCACAUAAAAGCUUUGUUUGCUUUGUAGCAAGGCCUUCAAAAUUACAGUCAAGGAAUAAACUCCUUAUCAAUUCUGUUCUAGCUUAUCAAUUCUGUUCUAGGAUCUCAGGAAUGAUUUUUAGGCUAGUUGGGAAUCACCUUGUGCUAAUAAAAGGAAAAUACAGAGAUUAUGAUGAGGAGAGAAAGGAAAAUAAUAGAAAAUAAUUAUCAUUAGGUAGCCAUUAUCCUCUUUAUAAUAUAUAUUUGGUACUUACUAUGUAACCAGUCCCAUGCUAAAUGCUUUAUUUGCAUUGUAUUAUGACAACCCUAUGAGGUAGUUGAUACCCCUAACUCCUUUUUAUAGCUGGGAUGUUAAGUAAAGAGUCCCAAAGUCACUCAAUGAAAUUCAAACAAUGCCUAAGCUAUCUUCUAAAUAGAACCCUGCUGCUUGACUCAGGUAUUUCAGAUUUCUUCUUUAUUGAAUAUUCAAAAGCUUUUUGUAAUGUAAGCCCAAGUAUUCACUAGAAAAAUGAUGACAUUUUUGGAAACAUCUAGAUGAGAAGAAUAAAGAUAUUCUUUUAACUCUUAGGGUUUCUUUAGGGUGUUGCUGACUUUUUUUCUGGAUUAUAAAACAAACCCACAAACAGAUGUUCUAAAGAUGGCCUCCCUGAAGUGGUAUCACAUGCCUUAGAGAAGCAGUCAUUCUUUAGAUGGAUAAAAAGCUCUCUUAAAUAUGUAAGACUCCCUUUUUCAGACAACCUAAAGUAUUUAUUUUAACCAAAUUAUUCUCUUUCAUUCAAACAAAUUAAAAAUAAAUUGUGUUGUCAGAAGCAAUUAAAAUGUAUCUUGGGUACUCCCUUACCUCCCCAAAAAACCUCAGUAAAAUGAAAUGUUCUCAGACCAAAUGAUCUUUUUCAUUUAUUGCUAUGAAUACAUGAUCUAUUUCAUGUAUUCAUGUUAAGUACAUCUACCUACAUAAGCUUAUAAAAAUUAUAUUUUACUCAACACAAAGUUGCAUAUUUGAGCUGGAUGAAGUAGCUAAAAUGAAGUAGCUAGAAAGAACCUUCCUUUAGUAUAAAGUUUUCUGAGACAUAUUGUUUCACUAGCAAAAAGCUAGUGAAAUAGAUUUAGAACGCGUUUGGCCCCAAAUGUUCACUGAAGGAUGAAUGGAUAAAGAAUAUGUGAUACAUACAUAUAAUGGAAUAUUUUUUAGCCUAAAAAAGUCAGGAAAUUUGGAUAGAUCCUAGAGCAUAGAUGAGCUUUGAAAACAUUGUGCCAAGUGAAUUAAGGAAGUUACAAAAGGAAAAAUACUGUAUAAUUUAUUUUAUCUGAGGGACCUACGUAAAGUAGUCAAAUUCAUAAAGACAGAAAGAAUGGUGGCUGCCACAAAUGAGGAAGAGAGAAAUGAGAAAUUAGUGUUCAAUGAGCACAGUGAGAAGAUGGUUUCCUAAAGAUGUGAAUGUAUUUAAUGCCACUGAACUGUAUACUUAAAAAAUGAUUAAAUGGUAAUCUUGUAUUAUGCGCUAUAAGAAUACAUGUGGCCUUAAAAAAGAAUUCAGUUAGAGUGGCAAAACCAAUGGGAUUUUUAAAUUAAAAAACAAUGUCAGGGGGCUGGGGUUGUGGCUCAGUGGUAGAGCACUGGCCUAGCACAUGUGAGGCACUGGGUUCGAUCCUCAGCACCACAUACAAAACAAAACAAACAAAAACACAAUGUCAUGUAGCAAGAUACCGGGAAAAAGAUUGAGGCUACCCAGCAAUUUGGUCUAGUCCCUAUGUCUGUGUGGUUUUGUCCUGCCUUCCUCACAGGGGAAUCCUUUAGAUUUAUGUGUACUAUCACUUGAUCACAGGAUGGCUGUUGUGCUUCAAGUUUAGCUAUGCAAGUACAGGCAUGGAGAUUUGGUUUUAGACAGAUAUGGCAGACAUUAAUUUAAUGUUCCCUGCAAAUCCAUGUACUCCCUCAAAUAUUUCACUGCUCUCUUGCAGUUGCCUGAGUACAUAUAAUGCUAUUUUUGCUUAGUCCUAGAAUAGAAAUAAAAUGUGUCACUUCCAGGCUAAAUUAUCAAAAUAGCCCUGGGGGUCCCUCAUUCUCUUGGAGAAGUAUAUAAUCCAAGUAGUGCAUUUACAAGAUGUUGGAACUUUAGUCUCCCUAGAUUUGUUUCUGAGUACGUAUGUGGAGCAAAUCUGUCAGGUGACCCAUGUGUGACCUAUAGCAUUAAUCAGAAUGUUUAUAUUUUUGUUAUGUUAAGUCAUUCAGGUUUUGAAGUUGUUUGUUUUUGCUACUGAGUAUAGCUAUUCUGACUGAUACUCUUUUGCCUGGGCCACAUCCCAAGCCCUAUUUUGUAUUUUAUUUAGAGACAGGAUCUCACUGAGUUGCUUAGUGUCUCGCUUUCACUAAAGCUGGCUUUGAACUCAUGACCCUCCUGCCUUAGCUUCCUGAGCCUCUGGGAUUACAGGUGUGCAUCACUGCUGGCCAGACAGGUUUGAUGAAACUUGGGAAUAUGGAACCUUUCAGGAGUAGAGGAAUAGAUGUAAAUUGAAGAAACAUGGAAUUUUAGCUGGAUAAGAACAGAGGUGAGGAUCAAAGUAGGGCAAGGAGUAGUUAGAAAGCAGUAGAAUAUACUGAACUACAGUUUUUGGUGAGGUGGAGGCAAUGUCAGGGUUUGAUUGCUAAAAAGGGUAAUAAUGAUAGAGAGGAGCAGUAGAAUGAUUGCAUUUGAGAUUACAAGGAAUUAAUGUUACUGCCAAUGACAUUGUUUUGGAAGUGAAUUUAUGAGGUAGUGUGGCUAAUUUGAGAAGACAUCAGAGAACCUGUAAAACAAAGUAUUGGGAGAAUCAUCUAAAUGAAUAUUAAAAUAAGCAGGAGUUAUGACAAGGAGUAGUAUUGGGUGGAACAAAAGUGAGCCAGAAGCUAAAAUCUCUAAAAAUGAGUUGUUCUUUAUUAGUCUGAAACUGUCUAUAGUCACCUUCAUUCUAGAAUGUUGUUUAACUGAUUCCAGGUUGACACUUUUUUUUUUCUGUUUGUUUUUUGCCUUUGUAUCUUUAAGAUUUUGGUCUUUUGGCUUCUUUUGUUGCUUGGAGAUACUGAAUUAUCAGUUUCACUAAAUUUUUUUGUACUUCUUUGGAGAUUUCUUUUCUUUAUGAUUAGUUUUUAAUAUUUUUCUUGUUAUCUUUGGUCUAGAGCUUCACUAGGAUACAUCUAAGAAUGUAUUUGUUUUUAUUUGUAUUCUUUGGAAUUCUGUGUGGAUCUUCAGUUUAAGGAUUUACUGAUAACUUAAAUACUGGAAAAUUCUUAUUCAUUACCUCUUAAGUGUUAGUGUCCCCUUCUCCAUUUAUUUUCUUCUCUCUUUAAAAAUAGCUAUUAAUACAUUAGACAUUCUCAUUUUGUACUUAAGGGCUCUUAACUACUUAUUUUCCUUUUAUCAUUCCAAACUGCUUCUUAGCAUUUCUUCCAUGGAACUAUCUUCUAGUUCUUUUCUUGAGCUCCAUCUAAUUUAAUGCUUGGUACAUGCAUUGAGUUUUAAACAAUCUAUGUAUUUUUAAAUUUGAGGAGAUCUAUUAGAUGUCUUGAAAAAUCUAGACACCUCCUAUGCCCUUACCUGUUUUGAGGCUUUGUUUUUAAAAUUAUGAUCAUGCUUCUUCUUCUUUUUUUUAAAAAAAAUUGCAUUGCAGAUUAUUUAAUUAUAGGGAAACUAUGAUCUAUGGGCCAAAUCUGGCACAGGGCACUGAUGCUUUUAAUUUUUAAGUUGUAAUUGUUAUUACAUAUUGAUUGUACAAAAUAAUGGGUUUUGUGACAAUUUCAUACAUGUUUAACAUACUUUGUGUCUACCCUCCCUUUUACCUUUAAUUACCCCCCUCCUCUAUCCACGUAUGACCCAUGAGCUAGGACUGAUUUUUAAAUUUUAAAAGAUUUGUUACAAAGAGAAGGGGACAGAGAGAAGAUUUGACAAACAUAGAUCACAUAUAACUGAAAAAAGUUAAAUAUUUACUAUUUAGCCCUUUACAGAGUAGUUUGGCAACCUCUGUGCUGUUAUUUGCAAUUAUGGGUAUAAUAAUCCUUUUUUUUUCAUAUGCUCAUUCUCUCAUAUUGGGUGUGUGUGUAUAUGUUUUGGACAGUGUGUUGGAGAGUGUUGCAAUAUUUUAUUGAAAGUUCAUCUUCAGUGAGGGCUAUGAAAGGUUAUGGAUCCUCACAAACAAUGAUAUAGGAUAUAACGGCAUUUUUAACAACAGGAAGCACAUUGGAAGAGAGCGAGCUAUGAAACUGGGCUGAGUUGCAAUUAAGAGGAGGUGUCUUGGCUAUAGAGAAUGUUUCUUAGAGUUCUGUGAGAAUAAUGUCUAGGGUUCUUGCUGAGUUCAGGGUUUUCAUCUGAAUCCCUGAAUCAGGGAACUAGCAUCUGGACUGGCCAGAAUUAAGAGUUGUGUGAGUACUCAAUAACCAAACAGGUCUGAUAUCUUUGGGGAGGUCUAACAAUAUGUAGGAGCAUGCCUGCGAACUACUUUGGGUCUAGUAUAGAGUAGGAGCUCAAUAAUGGAUUGUUGAAUGAAUGAAUAGGGAAAGAAAUGAAGGUUAGACACACAUUUUGGGGACUGACAAGUACCAGACUGGUGUCCAUAGCCAAUCUUUGUCAUAGACUACUAUCCAGAUACGAAGAAUGUGGAGAAAUACCUCUAGUACUUAUUCUAUAGAUCUCCUAGGAUUUUCUACAUAAACAAUUAUAUCAUCUGCAAAUAGGAAUCGUUUUAUUUCUUCAUUUCUAAUCUUUAUGCCUUUUAUUUAUUUUUCUUGGCUUACUACAGUGGUUCCAAUCUCUAGUUUAUUGUUGAAGAGAUAAAACAGGGAACAUUACCUUGUUUUUGAUAUUAGGGAGAAAGAAAUAAUUAAACAUGAUGUUAACUGCGGGAGUUUAUUCUUUAUUUCUUUAGUACUUCAUUUUAGAGACUUGUUCAGAUUCAACUGUAAUCGUUUUUGUAGUUGACAAGACUAUAUAGGUUCAAUUGUGUAGCUCCAUGAAGCCAGGUUGUAUCCUUUUAUAAUAUUAUCAAUCAUUAAUAUUUGUUGUCUAUUACAUUACAGGUUACAAAUACUUAUUCUGUUGAUUUAUGCUUCAUAUAUUACCUGGGACAUUUCUGUAGAGGAAAUUUUCUUUCAUAAACUCUUUGGUUACCUGGCUGUGUAGUUCCUAUAGGAAGGACUUAGAAGUGCUUGAUUAUUUUCUUUAAUUUAACAGUUUUCAGAAUGGUCAGUUGGUUCUAUAGCAUCCUCCAAAGAUAACUAAGGCUUUUAAAAACACAAAUUAUGAAUUUGCUGUCUGUUUCAAUUCAUUAGUUUGUCAUUCAAACAAGUGUGUACUUUUCUAAGUGCUUUCAGAACUUGGUUUUCAUCACUUUUUCUCUAGAUUUGUUGUCAGAUCUUUGUUACAUGUAUAAUCCAUGUUUCCUGCUAGUAUGUAAGAAUAUAAACAUAUUUCAUCCUAUAUAAAUAAAGACAAAAAGAGGAUGUAAUGAAAGAUUUCUAAUAUCUGUGAAUAAAGAAUGAGAUUUUUGCCUUUCAGUCACAUUUCAAUUCUGUGUUAACAUAUUUUAACAAACUUUGGAAUUUUGUGGGUAAAACCACAGAAGUCAAAUUUUCUUUGUUUGAAAUCUGUAGGAGAAUAAGGUUUUGGUGUCUUGGCUGUUAUGUUAAAAGUAAUAUAUUUCAGAGAACAUAAGUCAUAAUUUUAAGAGUUUAUUAGUAAAAGUUAAUCAUUGGAAAACCCUAUAUAUUCCUAUGUAACAACAGGGGAAAACUGUCUCCCUGACACAUAUUGUGUAGUUUUAUGUAAUGUUAACUUCAUGUGGUUUAGCUGUUUGACUUGAAGCACGUGUACAUAACCUUCUGAACAUUCAUUUAACGUGUAGUAUGCCAAUUUCCUAACAAUUAUUAUUGUCUUAAAGUAUAACAUUUCACUGUUCAACAUCAAAUAUGUGCAACAAAGGGAAUUAAAAUUUGUGGAGUUUCAUGAGCUUCGCAUAAUGUCUCUAUGUAGUAAGUGUCAAACAUGUUUUUUCCUAUUAGCUUUAUUGUCAUCUUUUUCUUGUUUAUAUAAAUAAUAUUCUAAAAAUUAACAAAAUAUCAAUUGCUAUAAUUCUUUCCACAAAGUUGUGUAUUAAAUUACAUAUUAGAUCUUCAUCUAAGUAUAGAUGUACACAAAGAAAUAUUUAGAUCUUUAGGUGAUUAAAAAAAAACCUUUGCACUUUUAUGAACUGUUGGUAUUUUUGGUAAUGAGUGUAUGUGGUGUAUAUGCAUAAUAUACACACAUGUGUGUCUAUAUAUGUGCAUGUAUAUAUAGGGAAGGAGAUAAAGGAAGAGAAGAGGAGGAGAGGUAUAUAAAUAUAUAUAUAUAUAUAUAUAUAUAUAUAUAUAUAUAUGUGUGUGUGUGUGUGUGUGUGUGUGUGUGUAUGUGUAUAUAUAAUAUAAAGAAAAUUUCUGAAAUGAAAGGCUUAACAAUUACAGAUAAUAUUUCUUAUGGAAAACUGUUGUUGGUGCCUAAAGUCCAUCACAAUACAUGCUAUCUAAAGACAGUACUAGUAUCAUAUCAGUUUGUGUUUGUUUAAAUAUAUGAAAUUAAGAAUUUUUAGCCAUUUAAAAAAUAGGUUGUUUUAUUUAAUAAUCUUAGUUCACAUUUCUUUUUGAUUGCUAAGAACACUCUCUCACAUUUGUGUGUGUAUGUAUGUGUGUGUGUGGGGGGUACAUAUGUGCAGAUCAGUGACUUGGAUAAAUACUAUAUUGUCCCUGGUUCUGUUUGGGAAUCUGAGUGGAUCUUGGAAAUACUCUAUCUUUUGCUGUGAUUUUUUUUUAUUUUAAAGGAUAGAGCUGAGACAUGUUUCUCUUAUAGUCUUCUUAGAUGCUUAGAUCAUUUGUUGCCUUUGUUAGGUGAAUAAGUGGAGGACUUGAUUUUCUAAUACACUAACAAUACUUUGUACAGGAAUCCACUUUAAAAGAAAGAAAAACACUUUAAAAGAAAGAAAACUUUGUAAAGAUCUUAUGCAUCUAUUGCUCUUGUUUGGGUCAGAGAUACUGAUACUUUAAUUAGUGAAAUUUUGUAUGUAAGAAGUCUUUCAAGUGGCAUUCAGUAUUUCUUUUAAAGUCUUGCUCCCCCAAUAUUUUUCAAAGUAAACUUUUAAAAAUUUGUAUUUUUAGGAGCAAGAAAGGCUCUUUUUUCAUAAAUCUUUAAUUAGAACUCAUAAUCUACAAAUUCUUUUGUCUUUGUGUUAAGGUAGUUUCUAUUUUAACAGGUAGAAACUGUACUAGAAUUCUAGGCAGCGACACCCUUAUCCCUAUACCUGCCCUUACUUAAGUGUCUGAAUGGUCCAAGUUCAUCUCAGGGUUAAAAUGUACUUUUUUCUUUAGAACCACAGAGAGAAUCCCAGAAAGUUAUGUAAAUCACUGUAAGAAAGAUAUAAAAGUGCUCUUUUAUUGCAUCCACUCUAUUGCUAUUGAUGUGUGAUGGCAUUGUAGUAAAAAGUAGGUAGGGGUGGGAUUCAGACUGCCCCUGGCUGCCUACAUCUCUCCCUUUACACCCUGGCAAGUGGGGUAUUAGAAGGAAAAUGACUGAUGGCCAUAGUGACCAUUUACUGACUAUGAGACAAAGGCCAACUGAAUGCAAACAAAUAAAUAUAAAAUGGGAUCAUUUUAGUCACCCAAGAGUGGGAAUGAGACAAAAUCACGAGCCACUCAAGCAGGAACAAACUUUAUUUUUGAAACUGCCGCCAAUGCCCCGUAUGCUCCCGGGAAGAUUGCCGACCGACCCACAUGGUGUUCUCCCGGACCCCAACAGGAAGUCCCUCCUCCGGAAUUCCCUCCUACCGCACUUCCCCAACCAAUGGGAACUCUCCAGGAGUCCCGUAGCAGGCCAAGGUGGACAGCAGGAGUCCAAUAUCCAUAUGAAUGCAGAUCUUAACAUAAUCAUAUCAUCUCAAUGGCUUGCUGGUGUUACCUUUCAACCAAAAAUGCCAUGCAUCAUAUUACUUGGCUGUGGCUCUUAGCAACAAAACUCUAGGAAAUUUCUAGAUGGAGAAUCUGUGUUCCUGUAUUAUGCAAAUUAUUGCUAUGAAAAGAGUUUUCCUUUAUUUUCUUUUGAGAUUAGACAAUCAUCUGUUUCUUUAAUUUCUUCUGGUUCUCAUUACUGAAAUUACCAGGUUGCUCAUAGACAUCAUUUCAUCCCUCACUGAGUUGUUCUACAAUGUGACUACUUCUUAAGUGGUGUACAAGGUUGUUUUAAUGCUAGUGAGACAAGCAGGGUGUUCAAUACUACUUUUCUUCAACUGUUGUUGGUUUCCUUGGACUUCUAGGAUGUGGAGAGCAUCUUGUGCGCACCAUACUGGCUAGAGAAUGUUCACAUGCUUUACAAGCUGAAGAUGCUCACCAAGCUCUGUUGGAGACUAUGCAAAACAAGUUUAUCAGUAAGUAUAAUGUUAAGA